UUAUUUGCACCCUAUGUACAUAAACCAAGCCAGCAUCUAACGUUAUUGAAGACAGUUUCGUAGAAUGCCGGGAGGUGAGAUAUUUCUUGUACUGCUUAAUCAGCCACUCUGAGGGUUCAUAACAACAUUCUUUCAUAUGGAACAGUUUGUCUAAGGCAUCUAGGGGGAAGGAAUGGUCUGUCUCAGCGGUGCGAGAGAGAGAGAGAGAGAGAAAGGGAGAGGGAGUGGAAAAGGACAUUCUGAACUAACAAAUUGAUCUCUUUCGUCGUCUAACUCCGAGUCAACCUCUCUCAGUCAACAACCCCCCGCUGCAAGAUGCCACUGCAUUGCACUAGUCAGUCAUUCUCUCCGUCACUGCUCCGCAACGAUAGGAGGGAGAGUGAGAGUAGAAAAGCCAGGAUUCCCUCCGCUUCGCGGGCCAUUCCUGGUGACGAAUGCGAAGGUGGCGACGGCUCUGCAUGAGCCAACGUGCUCGUCAAGUUAAGGAAGCAAUUGGCCUCGGGACGCACGACGAGAGAGUAUACCGUACCGCCCACGUGUCGGUAGGCCACUGGUUCUCCAACCCUCUUUUUCUUUUUCUUUUUCUUUUUUUGCCCUUUCCACUGGUGACAUUCCGACGAGGACUCGAUCCUAUCCAAAAACCACUACCAUAGGAUUUAAUAUCAUUUGUUGGGAGUGGGCAGCAUAAUCCCAAUACCUUCACUUAGAGAAAUCACCAAGAAAGAGCUCAAGUACAAGCCCAUCAAUAUAUUCAAUUAGACCCAUAUUUACUCAAAAGCUUAAACUAAUGGGUUAUAAGCCAAUCAAGAUAUAUUAACUACUAUAUACUACAUCAGUUCUCUGAUAUGAAAUUUCUUUAAUAAAACUCACGUGUGUAUCCUAACGAGGUCCACCUAAAUUAAAUUUGCAAUAGAACUUAUUAACAAUCCCAAAACCUUGUUGCCUUGUUUGAUGUCCCAGUGAGGUUAAUUAGACUCUAAUCAAGACCCAUUGAUUAGUUUCUCUAAAUCACGACACUUCAGAUCAAGCUCAAGAUCUUUCGUCCCAUUCUGUCAUUGAAGAAUUUUAACUUAUUUAAUCUGUUAGAUAACACUUUUACAACUUACUCUUAACAUCUUGAGAUAAUGUGGGAUCAAUUUAAGAGGAUCGAAAGAAGAUUUCAUGAGGAUGGCAUGUGUAGGGACCAUGUCACCCCUCCACCAUUGACACAACUUCUACUAGCCCGUGCGCGGGCAAGGGUCGACCCUCCUAUCCUUCUCAUCGAGCGGUAGCAAUUCGAAUCUCAUAUUAUACCAUACAAGAGUUUUGUUUUCAGAUUUUUAUUGAUAGAUAAGUUUUUAAGUUAUCAAAGUACAUAUUUAUGAAAAAUUCCAAACUAUAAUAAAUAAAUAAAUAAAUAAAAGAAUACUACACAGUGUGCAAUUCAUAAUGGGUUGAAAGUGUUCUAUAUGAAAAGUUAGUUACUAAUUAUUGAUGAGUCGAAAGUUACUUAUUCUUAAGAAAAAUGUUGUGAAACUAACGGAUCUUGCACUUGGAGGAACAAAAAAUUACCAUAGAAAUGAACAGUGAACAAUUAGUCACCAGAGAUUUACGUGGCUCAUUUCAAUUGUCAAUACCUACCCGGUGAGAAAAUUAACUACCAUAAAAUCUACUAUGAAUCUAGGGAGUAUAAAUUUUACUGUCUUUCAAUUACUUAAAUGUUUCCCAAGCAUUAAUUAUAAACAAAGUGAAGCCUCAAGUAUCAUAUCGUAAUCUCAUAUGGAAAAUUCACUCAAAAAAUGUACAUAAAAAAAAAUCUUAACACUUCAUCUAUUGUGUAUAUAAAGGUAGAAUUUCCAUCUCCUAUAUAUACAUGAUAUUUCUUUCCAAAAUAAGAGACACUACUAAAGCUAGAAAACCUAACCAAAUUAAGGUUCCAUUCAUUUCGCAGAAAAUAAUUUCUGGAAAAACGUUUUUUGAAUUUUCCAACGUUCGUUCCACAAAAAAUGAAUUUCUUGGGGAAAAUUUUUUUUAUAAAAAGAAAAAAGUUUUCUAAACUAGGAGAAAAUAUUUUCCAUUUUUGAAAAGUAAAAAACAUUUUCCUCACAUGAUCUCUCUUAUCUCUCAACUCUACAAAUCCUCACCUUCUCCUCCCUUUUCCUCUUCUUCUUUUCUUUUUUUUAUUCGAAUUAUUUUUUAAUUUUCUUUUUCUUUUUUAAUUCGAGUUAUUUAUUUUCCUUUUUCUUUUCUAUUUCUUUUCUUUUUUUCUUUUUUUCUUUUUCUUUUCUUUGUUUCCCAUCUACAUCUUUCUUGUUAGGCGAACCUCGAGCUCAUCGAUCUCAAGCUCGCACUCAUCAAUCUGGUGAGCCUCGAGCUUGACGCUCACGCUCGCCAAUCUAGGGAGCGACAAGCCUUGUGCUUGUCGGCAAGCUCGAGACUCACCGGUGCCUGACAACCGGCCAAGAACGGCCAAGAAAGAAGGAAAUAGAAACCAAAGAAAAAUGAAUAAUAGAUUUUAAAAAAAAAUCAAUUUUUAAAUAUUAUGAAAAUAUUAUGAAAAUUACAUUUUAAAAAAUAAAAUAAAUGAAAAAGAGUAUAUGUAGAAAAAUAUUUUCUUUACCGAACAACGAAAAAUUUUCAGGUUUCAUCCAAACACCAAAAAAUAAUUACAUUUUCUUGGAAAAUAUUUUCUAGAAACACCACAUUUUCCGCGAAACGAACAGAACCUUAGAAAAUCAACUAUCUUUACAUACUCAAACUUGACAUAUAUUCUCAACAAAAACUAAUCAAUUUAUGGAAAAGUUACUAAUCAUGUAACAAGUUAAUCGGCAACAUGAUAUAUUGGUACUUUUUUUGUAUGAAAAAUGGUGUCUAAGAUACUCGUCUGAUUGAAAAUCUACCGACCAUGAAAAUAUCAGUAGCGACUGAUGCAUACUAACUCUUCAAGCACAUAAAGUCACCAAUUCCUAUGAAUAAGUUGUCAACCAUUUAGAGAAUGAAAGUUAUUUGUCCCCAUGAUAAAUCACUAAUCUCGCGAAAAUAAUUAUGAGUUUUUGACAUAUGCAUACCCUUCUCCUUACUAGUCACGCACAAAAAUAAGAAUGGCGUACUCAAUUAUCGAUGCUUUAUUUUUCCUAAUGAAAAGUUGCGGAACUACUACCUAAUCACAUCCUAGUAAAGUUUUGACAGAAAUAUUGAAAGUCUAUUUAUCUUUAAUAAGCAACGCUUACGUAAUUUAGAGAAAAGCAACUUCACAUAUAUAGAUUGCCAGAAAUUUCUCCAUAAGUGCUACAAAGAUUUCACUACACAAGUAUAAGAUUCAAUAGAAAAAAGAGAAAAAAAAAAUCCCACGAAAAACCCCAACUAUAUCCACUAUGACACAUUUACCUUAAAUUUAAAUUUGUACCUAUCUAACACAUUUACCAUCCUUUAAAGUUCCAUCAAACGAUAUUUCCAUCAAACGAUAUUUCCGUCAAAAAUUUUAAAUCAUCCGACGUCCAUGUAGACAGAUUUUUAAAAUUUAGACGGAGGGCAAAUUAGGCCCCAUAGAUAUAAAUUUGGAAUUUUUGGUAUCACCAAAAAAAGUCAAGAAUAAAUGUCAAACUGGCAUAGUAUGAUUUUUUUUUUUUGGCUUUUUCCCUAGAAAAUAAUAACCAUUGAAGUAUUUAUAUAGCUAGUAAUUCGGUCAUGUAAUUAGUUAUUAUAUAUGAGGGAAGUAACUAAACAUGCUGAUUAUAAGUUCCUAUUCCACUUUUAUUUUCCCACACAUACCAAAUAUGUCCUCAGUUCAGAGUAGGAAGAAAAUCGCCCUUCCUCGGGGGGAAAAACGAGUGAGAAAUCAAUAAAUAAAUAUCAACAUCCUAUUCCAAAUGACUACACAUCAGAGUGUCGCAGCGGCAAAAGCAGCCUAAGCACCAAAAGGUUACAAACAGUUUUCUGCAUCUCGAGGAAAGACAGCAGCAGCUUCGGUAUCACAGCUUAAGAAGGUGGUGAUAAUGAAUAAAUGGAUAUCAACAUCCUAGUCCAAAUGACUACACAUCAGUCAAAUGUGAGUCCGAGAAGUGAAACCAAGCCCCUAAAUAUUACAUACAGCUUAUUUUCGCCUCGGAACUGUGCAUAAGUUUAAUGAAAUGCAUUUAUACAUGCGGUUCAGCAACAAUUAGUAAGUCUCUAGAAGAAAACAUUACAGUUUCGAACCAGAAUCCGUCCCACCCCGAGAAGUGGAUAAAUCUGUGCUUCUCGAUCAAAUGGAACAGAGCCUCCAAACCAAUCAAACAGCAUAGGCAUCCUGUGGAAAGGGCAAUUUGUUAGGCAAUUGCAUGUAACUACGGUUAUCGUAAAAGAGGGUCAAGGCUUAGGUCAUCAGAUAAUUAUGAAUGACCAUCAUGUGCAUUAAGUUUCAACUAAUACUGACUGCAAAUUCAUACAACUGAAUUAAAUGACAGGUAGACUUUCAAGUCCCAGCUUGCAUAUAGUAGACAUAAUGCCAAUUGUACUAAAGUAGGAGCACAAUGAAGAAACUACUGCUGUGUGAAAUUCCUUGGACAUGCCGCGAUUCAGCAGUCAUAGUUUAACAAGUGCCUGCAGAGAUGCAGAGAACAGCCCUCACAGUUUCUCAUACAUACCGUGCUGGCAAAACAUUGUUUUAAGAAAAUUGUUGAAAAGGUCAAUCAUUUUGCACACUCAUUCAAUCUUACCACCACCUCAUAACCAGUUCACCGCUGACCAUAUUUGACAAAGUUAUCAACCGCAAUUUGUUAACAAAAAUCCAUCAAGGUGACAUGGUACUAUGUCCAGGGAGACAGUGGAUAUUAGUACAAAGGGAUGCAGGAACACCCACAGAGACAGCUUACAUUCUUGGAAGGCUGUCUAUAACAUAGCAACAAAAUUGAUCAAGGUCCUACAUCGAAGGGGAAGGUGGAGAUUCCAGAACAAUAGUAAAGACACGACUACAGAACAUUAUGUAGAAGUAAACCCGUUAAAUGGGUGGGUCGGGUCGGGUCAUAAAUGGUCUGACUCAAAUCGACCCAUUUAACCCGUUUAUAACCCAUUUAUUGCAAUACAAAAAAUUUGACUCAUACCCGACCUAUUUAACUAAACUUAAGAAAGCUUAUUUCUUAUAUAUAUAAAAAUGGUAUUGCUAAAAUAGUUUUAUACUACACAAAUUUAAUGGACAAUUUUUAUAAUUUUUGAAAUAAUUAUUUUUAAAAAAUCAAAUUUUAAUUAUUUUAUAUUUUUAAAAUUAAAUUUUUAAUUCUUUUUCUUUUUCUUUUUUAAAUAUAUUUUUCUUUUUUCUUUUUUCUUUCUUGUUCUUCUUCUUCUUUGGCCGGCCACGACGAUGGCCGGCGGCCGGCCAGAGGCGAGCCUCGAGCUCGCCCGGCUCGCCAACGCUGGCAAACUCAAGGCUCGCCAGAUCGGCGAGGCUUGAGCCUCACCGAUCGUCGGCGAGGCCUUUGCCUUGCCAGAUCUGGCGAGCUCGAGCUCGCCCCUCACCGGACGUCGGCAAGGCCUUCACCUCACUGGAUCAAGUGAGCUCAAGGCUCGCUUGGCCAGUGAAAAAAAAAAUUAUUAUAAUUAAAAAAAUUAUUAUAAUUUCGAUUUAUAUAUAUAUAUAUAUAUAUUUUUUUUUUUUGUAAAGUUAAAAAGAGAGAUUGUGAGGUUUUUGGUGAAAAUAAGUUCUAAUUCCAACCCAUUUAAGACCCACUUAAGACCAACCUAUUAAAUUCUUUAAUUAUUAAACCCAUUUAAUUACUUUUUGUCAAAAAAACAAAUGACAUAUAUAUGACCCAUUUAUGAUUUAAAUGGGUCAUAUAUGGGUCUAAGACCCGUUUUGCACCUUUAUAUAGAAGUCAUGAUUUCUUACAAUAUUAUGCGCAUAGGAAAUGGACAGAAGAAUAACAAAAUAGAAAAAAACUUUACCUAUUCAGUGAAAACGCUGAUAAGAUCAUUCGACGAAAGUUGCUCCAAUACUGGGAUAGACACUUUUGCAUCCACAAAGUCAAAGCUCGGUUCUUGUUUGACUCUACCUGCACUACUCUCCAGAUGGACUUUUCCACUGUAUAUUUGUUUCAACGGUGGUCCAUAUUCAUCAACUGUGAAAAGGCUUGGGGUGCCUGAUCCCUUACUAACAAAUCCUAGAUUCUUUAGCAGUCCUUGAUAAAUGGCUUCACCUGACUUAGCAUCAUAAGAACCCUGGAUAUUGGAAAAAUCAUAAACAACACCCGGUGCUUGUCCAACGAUGUUAUAUUUUGCAGAUGGAUUCCGAAGUGGACAGCUAUUGCUACUGUCAGCAUUCGCUGAACUAGACGACAAAGUCGGUGAAAUGGAACCUUGUACAGAGUAGCCACCAAGUACGCCAGAGGUUUUGAGAUCUUUAUCUGAGACCAGACCAGUAUUUAAAGCAGAAUUGCCUUGAUAUGAUGGAAAACUGUAGUCAAUGACGGCACUUCUAUUGUAGGUGGAACUCUGGUUCACAGAAGCAGGACUACCCGCUGCUUGAAAACCAGCUGAUGAGUGGGGAACAACAAGGCAAGAUGGUUGCACAUUAAUUAAACGGCUAGGCUCUAGGAGAGGCUGUUGUGGCAGUUAUUGCUGUUGCUGUUGUUGCUGCUGCUGCUGCUGUAAUUGCUGCUUUUGCUGAUACUGCUGUUGUCUUUGAAAUAUAUCCAUCAAAGUGUUAUUACUCUGAAUAUUCGACCCUGCAACAAUGUUAUUGUUUCCAACUGUACUAAGGCUAGUAGCUUGCCACGGUCCAAAUCCCGAAGGUGCAUCCUGACUCGAUAGAAUGGACUGUUGAUACUGCUUGGAGACAUUAGAUGGGCAUUUAAUCAGAGGCUGGCCAAAGGCCACACCAUGUUCAACAGGAAGACACUUGGAUCCCUGCAGGGAAGCUUGCAAGAGAGUUGGCUGAUCAAAUGACGGUAACACUAGGUUGCUUGUUGGUCGACCCAAAAGCUCAGAUUGCAGUGCUGCUAAUGCCUGCGGAGAAAUCUGACCAGAGGCUGCCAAAGCUUGAAUAUCAUAUCUUCCCAGGGGACCCAACUUGAUAUUUGAUUCUACAGUUCCACAGAAUGAACUAGAUAUCCCGCCUUGCUGCUGAGCUACUCCACUUAAUCUCUUCAAAUACAACCUAAGUUUCUGAAAUUGUUUGACACAGCCAGCAAAACUCAGUACCCAGACAAGAUGAUCAUAUGCAAACUAGAUCAACUAGACAUUCUGUGCAAGUGACAAAAGAUGAUAUCAUAUUCAGUUCAACAACAGCUACAACAGUAAGCAGUUUCUGCAAAACCAUUGAAUUUUACAAAUAAUUACUUAUUCAUGCUACAUCAGCAUCAAAAGAAGUUUAAAAGAAAAGGGUGAAUGACACAAAUGGUCUCUGAAUUUUGGUCCAAUAAACAAUGUGGUUCCUAAAUUAAAAAACAAAAAAAAAAAAUUGUAUUUUUUUUUUUUUGAAGUAUGGCCAUCGGACCGCCGGAUCUAGCGGCCGAACCACCGAAUCUGGCAGUCAGAUGGCCAGAUCUAGCCCCCGAAUGGUCGCCGAGGUCAAGCAACCCUAGGCUGCCCAAUCUCAGGCGAUCGACCGCAUGGGUCGCGUAAUUCAGGCCAUCAGUCGCCUGGGUCGCGCGACCUAGGCGUCACCUAAGGUCCAGCGAUGGUCGCCAGGGUCGGGUGGUCGCCGGCGCGCGUGACCCCCUAGCUGGCGAUCAUCAACCUCCGAUUGGCUUCUCCACCGGAGAAGAUGAACAAUUAUCGUCUUUAUUCAAUUAAGGCACUCCGUGUAUGCCAUGCUCCAAUGUGUCUUGCUCGAUUGUAAUCGCUCGAUUCAAAACAUCUUUGUACAUUGUUAGUUCAAAAGGUAUGAGCAUAGUACAGAUAUCCAAUUGAAGUAGCAUUGAAAGUGUUAACCCUUACCUCUUUCACUAGUCGCAAAACCAUCCUCAAAUCUACUUCAUUGAUUAAAAUGGGUCACGUAUUACAUAAUUGUUGAGAUACCUUGAGAUAUAUUGACAAAGUCGCUUCUUAUCUUUACUUGGAAGGACUCUGAAAAGAAUUAUGCAUUAAAACCUUCACUAAAAUCCUUCCAUGAAAUGACUACAUCAUUACCUUCGAAGACCGGUCUAGUUCCUUCCCACCAACAAAUAGCUUUGCCUUCAAAACAUCGAGUGGCAAAGUUGACUUUUUGUUCAUCACGAACAUUCUUGGCUCUGAAAAUCUCCUCCAUGUUUCUAAUCCAACAGUUGGCCUUGAAAGGAUCCAAUUUUGCUUAACUUAUAUGGGUCCGCCAUUCUCAAUUGGAUGAAUGUGCAUAAGCCAAUUACUCCAUCUUCACUUAAUUAUUUCACUUGACUAUAUUAGUGAAGCAUUGCCUACAUGAACUUAGUCGGAGGAACCAACUCUUGGCACUUUUCCUUGGCUGCAUGCAAGUUGAGACUCUCAUCAAAUUGGUCCUCUAAUCUCCUCCUUGAAGCUAUACCUCGAGAAGCUUGAGGCAUAUCUCUAGUAUGGGGGUAGCAACUCCCUUACCUUUGCAACUCCUAUGAAGUAAGGCAAGCGUCUCUGAGUUGGAACACAUGGUCACCCGAAACCAAGAAUGAAACUAUAUCUUAGUAUCUAAAAGCCUAAGCACUAAAUUCUAUCAUAUGAUCUCACAUUGUUUGAAAUAUGUACUCAUAAAAGUUAAAACUUAAACUUUAAUACCAAAAGAUGUCACGUCCCAAAAUUACAAAAAUAUGGGGAUGACGUGGCCGUCCUUCCCCACGAAAGAUGCAGCUUCAAAUAUAACUAACAACCCGAUAUCAAAAUAUAUAUCUCCAACCAUAUUUACGUAUCAAAUAAACCAACUGGUUGGUUACAAUAUCAGAGUUUCCUUAAUCCACCACAAAGAAUAUGACCCGACCCAAACCCGACCCAACCCACCCGUUUAACGGGUCUAUGAUUCCUUAAGCUAUACCCAAAAGUAUGACUCCCAAAAGUUUCCCAUAAUAGUACUCUCGUCCUACUUGCUGUUAACUGAGGGACCUGAAAAACAUGAAGAAUGAGUAGAAUGAACAACCACAGCUCAAUGAGUAAUAUAUAACUUCUAAGAAGCAACAUUUCCCUUUCAUAUCUAUAAAAUCAAAACAUGUAUCAUUGGUUCAAUUCAAUAAUUGAACUCGUCAUAUCUCAUAUCAAUAGUUCAUUCCAUGCUCAAUAUCUAACUCAGUACUCCAAAAAUGACUCACGAAUUUUACGUUAUCAUGUAGUACUUAGUUCUUACCCAAUGUAUAUCAAAGGUACAUGGCCCUAGAUGGCUCCCACAAAUACAUUAUCAUGCAAUACUUAGCUCUUUAUUACGCGUGUUAAAAGUGCAAAACCCUAGAGGUGGCUCUCACAUGACUUAAGUUGCCAUGUAGUACUUAAUUCUUGACUACAAUGCUCUAAAGGUGAUUCAUACGAAGUUUCGUUGUCAUGUAACACUUAAUCAUUUACCAAUUCACAUUACAAUUAGUUUUUUAAACCCAAAACGUAUCAUCUUACAAGAGUUAUCUCAUAAAUCAAAUGUACAAAAUAGCACGCAUGACCCUUCAAGAAUAGUUUAUCGAACCAUCUUCAAUAACUCAACAGCUUUAUACAACAAAUAUGUCAUCACUUCCAUAUACAUAUAUAUAUAUAUAUAUGUAUAUAUAUCCUAUACAUGGGUUUUACAAAAUCAAAAAAGGUGUUAGUACUAUGAUCUUGUCGUCUACGACCCAACAAUAAAAGGUACUGAUAUUGUCAAACUUGCGGUUUAAGCGCUACGUUGCGCAGUUAAAUUGGCUUGUUUGGCAUGCGCAUAUAAAAUCCCCUUUGUCUCUUCCCUAUUUUUCUUUCUCUCUCUCUGUUCUAUCUCUCCCCCGGCAGCUCUCGGCCCCUUUUAAAACCGAGCGUGACCUGUUUCUGCUUUCCUUCUCCUUUUUUCUUUUUUUAUUUUGUUUUCCUUUUUUUUUUCGGGUCCCACCACCCAUACGAGGUCAACCCCGGACGGCCGGACGUGAUAAAGAGCGUGCCCUGAUUUUGCUUUCCUUCUCCGUUUUCUUCUCUUUUUUUGGUUUGGAAUAUGCUUAGUAAACCGUACCCUCAUAUAAAUUAUAAUUAAUCCCCCACAUAUUUUCGAAGAGAGAGAGAGGGAGAAUUUUGUCUUGUUUGGAUGCUUGUGUUCUUUCAUAGAGUCCACAAAAUGUGUGGCUGGGGAUUCACAGUCCAUUUUCCAAGCUAAGGGUACGGUUAACCAAGUAUAUUUCUUUUUUGGUGGCUCGCACCGCUUUGAAAAGUCAAAUAUUACGAAGCAACCUUGAAUAGCCGGACAUGAGAUAAAGAAAUGUCAAGAGUCAAAGAAGGCAGGGUGACUUCCAACUGAAGAAACGUCACGUUCGGCUAUGAUAGCUGUGCCAACAGUCGGAGAAUAUAUAAUGGUGAAGGCUUUAGAUGAAACGCACACAAAGUAGAGGACUUAACCAGAGCACUAGCUCAUAAAACUUAACUAGCCGAGAGAGAGAGAGAGAGAGAUGAGCAGCAGCGGCAAGGAGGAGGUGGCGGUUAUGGAAUCGUACCCGAUGAACGGUGGGGAUGGCACAUUCAGCUACAACAAGAACUCUAAUUUCCAGGUUCUUCAUUUGAUGUUAAGUAGAUGCAUUUCCAAGCAACCAUUUCUUAAAUUUCAUGGAAUAGAGCUAAAUGAUAGAAUUAAUUGUUCUGUCUUUCGCUAAGCUUUGCCUGAAUUCAGCUUUUGAAACUUCUCUCUGGUUGUUCAUCUCUUGUGACCCAUUAUGGUUUCAACGAGACAAGUAUCAAAUCAUCAAAUAAACUUGCUACUCUGACAUGCAUCGCAGAGAGUGGCAACAAACGUCGCCCGGGAGACAAUCAACGAGGUGAUCGCAGAGAAGCUCGACAUAAAGCAAUUUUCUCCUGCUCUGACCACUUUCCAGAUCGCGGAUUUAGGCUGUUCGGUCGGGCCAAACACCUUCCUCGCAGUCCAAAACAUCAUAGAGGCAGUCCGACGCAAGUACGAAUCACAAGGCCUCUCCUCCCAACUGCCUGAUUUCCAAGUCCUGUUCAACGACCACGCAUCCAAUGAUUUCAACACCCUCUUCGCUUCCCUGCCAUCUGACCGACCGUACUGCGCAGCUGGUGUGCCAGGAUCCUUCCAUGGGCGACUGUUCCCCAAGGCGUCCCUCCAUUUCGUGCAUUCGUCUUAUGCGCUUCAAUGGCUUUGCAAGGUGCCUAAAGAAUUGGUUGAUCCAAAUUCCCCAGCAUUUAACAGGGGGAGAGUUCACUACACAAGUGCUCCACGCGAAGUGAGCGAUGCUUAUACAUCUCAGUUUGCAAAGGACAUGGUGACAUUUCUGCACGCUAGAGGUGAGGAAAUUGCAAGUGGAGGCAUCAUGGUUCUAGUCAUGCCCGGGAUUGCUAAUGGCAUUCCUUAUUCACGUGUACCAUCGGGCGUGAUGUUCGACCUUUUGGGGUUCAGCUUGAUGGAUAUGGCAAAGGAGGUAAAAACUGGAAACAUUGUCAGCAAAAUUUUCUUUCUUACCAAAAAUAGUUAAAUAUGGGUGCAAGUGUAUAUCAGCAUAGUUCACUUACAGGUCUCACAAAUUUGUUUUUAGCGAAAAUAUAGAUAAUCCAUAGUUCAUGUCUCAUUUGUGCAUGUCUUAAUGUGUUUAUCAUAUGCAUGUGGACCCUUUAACGGAUUUCUUAAGGCUUUCAUUCCAUCGUUAGUUCACUUAUAUUCAAAGCAAUCCCAUUGAGUUGCACAGAUGACUUGAUGAAAGUAACUCUCUACAGGGUAUAAUAAGUGAGGCUCAGGUGGAUUCAUUCAAUUUGCCAGUGUACGCUCCCUCUCCUGACGAGAUGACGGCACUAGUAGAGAGCAAUGGGUGCUUUAGCAUAGAGAGGAUGGAUUUAGCAGCUCCUGGAUCGAAGAUCGAUGUCUCGUUCGGAGGGCAUGCUUGCAUGCUGCACUUAAGAGCUGGAAUGGAAGGCAUCAUCAGCAAACAUUUUGGAAGCGAGAUAAUUGACGACCUGUUUGAUCGUUUUCUCGAGAAAACCAAUGAAUUUUCCGACCGUUUAAACUCUGCAUAUCGUCAAGGAAGCCAACUGGUAGCGAUACUGAAGCGCAAAUAAUGCGCACUUGGGAGUGGAGUCCGCACUUUUUUCAAAUAAAGUUCCAGAUAUCUACUUUCCUCUUCGAAUUCAUACGUCCCAUAUAAGGCACUCGAAAUCUGAAUACGGUGAGGAUAUUUAGCAUUUGUCCUGGUAUGAUCUUUACAGUACUUGUAUUGCAAUUUUUGAUGAAGUAUCAAUGUAUUGAACUUUUUGGUACUCUAAGGCUUCGUUAAGCAAGAAGUGCACCAAGAAGGUGCUUCAUCAAGAAAUAAAGUCAAGCAGCAUUACGAUGCUUGUCCUCAUACAUGGAGUAGCUUUGGCACAUAAUUCUAAUUUUUUGAUUCUAUAAGUAACUAAAAUAUUUGAAAUUUGAUGUGUUGGGCUUUCUUUUCUACUGAGCUGGACUGCAUAACUUCUUUCAAUUUGUCCCACGAGAAAAGAAGAAAGAAACUAGGUAGAUUGUCUCGUGAGACCUAGAAUCGAGCGUGUAAAUAAUUGCUUCAAUGGAAGCUGAUUUCCAAACUGCAGAUUUUGGUGCAGUGAGAUAAUGAGUCGCAAAUUUUUCUGCUCCUACUUUUUAAGAUAAUAUUGUACUUUUGGCAUCAAUAUGAUCUUUAAAUUCCUCGUAAGAAAAUCUUGUUAAUCUCCUUUGUGCUGAGGAAUGUUCCAUCCCCAUGAUAACAGCUGCCGCAAAUUUUUCCCCAUCAGCCAUGGCAAGAGAAUGAUAUAUUCUCAAAUUCCAUGACAAACCAAAUCUGAUGCAGCGUCAUCUGGCCUAGAGCCAUUAUCUGAGAUUACAGAAAUGUUAUUAUGUUCAAACCCACCAGCAUUAGGAAUCCGAGGAACCUGUGGCAUGGAAGAAUAACUAUCAUACACAGAAAUUUAUGGGGUAUGCAAAGUUUAUCGCGAUACGGAAAUUCCAAUUCAGAAAGACUAUAGACAGUGAACAGCCGUUUGACAUUACCAUUAUGUACAAAAAGAUGUAAUGCACACACAAAUAGCAGUCAGAAUGUUAUUUAAGCUUCGCUACACAAACAGCAGGAAUUUAGGAGUACCGUUGCCUACACAUUUGCAGAAGACCCAAAUACAACAACUUCGGUUUCUUCAACUGAGAAAAUAUCCAAGUUGGAUUUCUCAAUUCAGACGCAAUCGGGUGAAGUAGUCUUCAAGAGUGGACUUACGAGCACUCAUCCUACCUCGUUUUUCCUUCUUAAUUUGGAUUAGUUUAUCAUAUACACACCAAGGAAAGCUAAGAUAAUGAUCUCGUUUUAAACCCUCGUUGUAGCAACCCCAAUACUCCGGAUGAUACGUGACAUGAUACCACGCAGAUGCUUUUGCAUAUUCAUCAACGGGCUCAGAAUACGAACCACUUCCCUUAUCAUUAAACCAGGUCCGAGCUUCCUUUCUCAGGGAUUUUACUGCCAUAGUGAUGGAUUCAGCGUCCCUCCUCUUGGUGAAAGAUUUGGACAUUUUUAUUAUGCAGCCACUAAGUAUUUCAGCCUCUGUGUCAAUCCCAUAAUACUCCAUCAGAUUCCCCAGCUUGUAAUCAUAAUUACCCUUGUGAUAGAAAGCGUCAUCGACAUAAUCCUCAAAUCCGUCCACUUCCAUCUCUGGGUCAUAAGAUUGCCUCGCCAUUUCCAGUGUGAACUUCCGAAUAGAGCUUGAUGCAUAUGCUUCCUCUUUGACUUCCCGGAAAAGCUUUCCGAUCACGUUGUUGGAUGGGUAGCUGGACUUGUCAAGCUUCUCCAUGAAGUCUGGGUAUUCCUUGACAUACAGAUUAGGAGGUAUCACAGCAGGUACACCAGUUUUUGGGAAGUCAACCGCAAUAGAGAAAAGUCUGGCAAGGUCUAAACAUUCAGGGCACAUGGCCUUUUCAGGCUGACUAUCUGCAAAGACGGUGUGGGCAUUGGCAAUAAUUCCAAGGCUGUCAUUAAGUAUGUAAUUUACGAAGUACUCCUCCACUUCCUGUUUAAGCAACAAAACCACAAAAGGGUUUUAAUUACCCACAUAUCCAUAGAGCAUUACAAGAGAAAUCAAGCGGCGAAUUUCCAAAUGCAACUCAUUGAUUUCGGCAAAUUGAUCAUCAAUAACCCUUCAAAAAUAAAGUGUGCUCAGAUAUACAUCUUCUCUUAAGAGUUCAAGGUAUAUAUGUGCUGGCCACUUCCAAUUUCAAUGUUCCCAACGAUUCAAAAUAAUCCGUUCAUUUCAUUAUCAAGAAAAGGAAAUGUUCUGUAACGCAAAAGAAUAAUGCAUAAACCAAUCUUAGUAGAUGUAUAUGCAUGGGCAAGUAUAGGCUUGCAGGUAGAUGCUUAUCGCCACGGUAUUUCCAGCAGAAUCAAUCUUAAUAAAAACAAUAAUACCAAUUCAGAGAAUGGAAGCCUCGUAACGACUGCCACCUAAAAGAACAAGGAAUUCUCAACAGCAGUGAAGAGUGGGUACCAAAUCCAAGGUCAAGAACAUAGGCAAAGUUUUACUUAUAGAGUCACGCUGGAACAAAACUUAUUAUAAAGACCAAAAGAUUCUUUCCAUAAACCCAUGCAUCAUUAUCGUAAUGAUAACUUCCAAACCCCAAUUUAAGAAACGCCACAGUUAAAACAAGUAUACAGCUAACCCCAAAGCAUGAGCCCAAUCCUAUUCCCCCCAAUGGCAAUGAAUCUUUAUUCUCUAGAAGAGUUUCUUCACAAGGAGGAAAUUGAAUGGACCGACCCAUGGUAUAUCUAAUUUCAGAUCAUUAAUAUUUCCCAUGAUGGCCAGCCUUCUAGAUAAGGAAAAAUACCACAGUAGUAAGGUAGUUUCACUUGGUGACUUGGUGAUGAAAAUGAUGCUUUCCAUGAUCACACACUUUAAUCCAUCACUUCCUAUUGCAUUGAUAUUUCCUAGAUAAUAAUCAAAUUUAACAUAACAGAUUCACAACAGCUGGACUAUAAACAAAACCCAUGCAUCAUUUCAGUAAGCCUACUUUUUCAUUCCCUCAUCUUUACUUAAAAAAUUAGCUAUGUCCCUCCACAACAGUCACUUGAACUGCAUCCAAGCACAAUGCCUGACCAAAUACACCUCUAAGUUUGGCAAAAUAUAUGAAAUGUUGAAAUAGGGUUUCAGAACCAGUGAAAUGGCUCUGCUAGCCUUUAUAGAUACAUUUGAUGAGCGGCUCUUAAUCAUAGCUAAACCCACAUCCGAGUCGAGACAACACUACAGCCUCAAGUGCUUCAUUAUUUACCAUAGUCGCUUUUUGUUUCCCUACAAAGAUUCAUAUCACUUUGUGUGCAGUUGUGCCUGAAGUUGAGUGAACAAAAUUUGGCAGUUAGCUUUUAGGGCAGAAGAUGAAUAGAGGCAUUGAAAAACUAGGGAAGCCUCCAAACAAGCAAAAAUUAAUGAACUACAUGUGGAGAAUUCUGAGUGCAAGUUCUUUCCAGGGACUUCUCAUAGAAUAGUCCUGGUCAAACAGCCAAUUCCAUGUUAUGUAAGGCAUAAACAGAUCUUUGACUAUAAGAAUCCUACUGACCUAAUGGUUGAAUUAAUGAGCCCACUCGUACUCAACUGUUUGCUUCGUGACUAACUUUUAAGCUAUCAUCUGCUUGCAGAGGGUGCAAAUUUUAGCUUCUCAGGGGUUCUUCCAGCCCAGGGAAGGAAGGAAGAGAAGCACACAAAUUUAUAAGUAAAAGGAACCAAUAAGAAACCAAAAGAAUACAGCAGGUUUGACAAGACAUUUUGCUCACAUGCCAAAUUCCUCAGCAAAGAUAAAAUUAUCCAAGUAUCAUGUCAGACAAGCCAAGUCAAGUGAAAAGAUAGAGAAUGCCAAAUGAUGGAUGCUAGAUGGAUUUCCUACUAUAACUGUAAGCUGUUCAAAACGUUUCACAGCAUCAUAAAAAGUCAUUACAAUAUAUAUAAUUCCGUGGAAAUCCUGAGAAAAAGCAUUACCUCAAUUGUGACAUCAUGAUCUAACCUCUCACUUGGGGCAGGUGUGUAAUCCAUAGGUUGUCUCUGGUGAUGCGGAAUUAAUUCUGAGUCCCAGGAGACAAAGUAGAUAUCUCCGUCCAAAUCACUCCCUGAACACUCAUUUGGAUGAGGCCUAUUUCAUUCAAGAAUCGCAUUAUGCAUUAACAAGAGAAAUUGAGAAUCAUUAAAAGGACAGAUCAAUAUCAUAUUUUGCUUUCUACUUUUAUCUAUUGAAAGUGUGUUUGGGACAAUUUAAAGUAGAAGAAAGUCAACCCGAAUUACUCAAAUUAUGGGGAAGGAAUUUUUUGCCUCUACUUUUAGCUAGUAGAAUUAAAGGGUAAACCUAUCAGUGUUUAUCCAGAACUAGAACUAUCAGAAGCAUAGAACAACAGCAUAGUAGAGGAUGCUUCUUAGCAAAGUCGCAUCACAUGUAGACAGAAUCUACAUACAAGCCUUGGAUCGGUGAACUCAAACCUCAUACAAGAAAGAGACAAACCAGAAGCAGGAUCAACAAAAUUUCAAAUCUAGCCACCAAAUCCCACUGGAUAAAUAUUCUAGCAUUUAUUCUCAAAGCUUAAAGGUGAUAGAAAAGCAGGCCCAAAACUAUUUCUCAAGAAAAAAUGUCAAAAUUAUCCUUGGCUAUGUAAAAUGCGGAAAAAAUUAAAUUGGGUUGCACAUCAGUUCAUUUAUUUUAGACCUAGUACAAACAUAAUAUUAGAAAUUUUAGAUCUUAUUAUUAUAACUGAACCAAACCAAAACAAUAGCCAAUGAUCCACGACCAAAAGCAAAAACAAGUCCAAAAUGGAUCCAUGACAAGUGCCAGUGCAACUGAGGUAAUUGCAAGCCAAUAACAAGGCAUCUUAGAGUCAUACCUUUUUCCCUUCUGUGGAAAAACAACACAAUCCACCAUAUGAUGUAAAGCUGGCACAUCUAUAGCAGUUAGAACACGCACAUCACCUGGAUGUAAGCAAGGAUUCUUGGCAACAACUACUUUUCCCUGUACAACAAAGCUUUGAUCUGAGUCAGUACCAAUGAACACAAUUGACUCAUCCCACAUCUGUUGUUUUCUUCUACCGGAAUACUGCAGAAACACCUGGCCAUAUUCCAAACUUUGGGUUUCGUCAAGGCAUCCCAUCAUUGAUCUUCCUUCAGGAAGAAAUAUCCUCGUUUUUGUCCGCAAUUCAGACAAUUUUGUUGCUCUGAAUGUUCGCAGCAUCAUCGAUAGAAAAGGCUCAGCAUCAGGCUUAUAACCACACUUUAGCAUUUCUUUGAGAAUGUUACCAUUCUCCCCCGGGGACAUUAAAUCUAGAGCCUCUUGUGCUCGUAGGGGAUCAACUAAAAUGGCAUUUAGCUGAUCUACAGCAUUUUUUUGUUUUUUCUCGAACACGUGAUCUCGAACGCCAAGUGUUGAUAGAAGAGUGAUCAACUGGCGAUUAAGAAAGCAAGGCUGAUAUUUGCUCCAUCCCAAGACAUUUAGCUUUGUCUCAUCUGAUUCAUACUUUAACAUGCUCUUUCUGAGUGAUAGUUUAACACAUGACGUUGGAUCAACCGCUACAACACCUUUAUAUCCAGCAUAGCGAAUUUGAAACGCGGAAGGAGUAUAGCCCUUGAAGCCACAUUUUCUUGCAACUUUCCGAGCGAACUCUCCAGAUAUCUUCCCAAUUCCAUCAGAAAAGAUAUAAUUCAUAUCCUCAACAAGUGACUUGACUUCAAUAUCCGGAAUGAGUUCAACUUCAUCUUCACCUACAUUGAGAGUUUCGGUAGAUGAACUCAAGGAUUGGCCAAGUCUCGCGGCAUAUUUUGCCACAUUUCUUAUUGCACUGAAUUUACCCAUCUUUGCCCUAAUAGUUGCAGCAGUUGUACCAUCUGUUGGAGCAAACAUCCAAGCAGAAUUUUCGCGUAACUGACUGGAUGAGAAGGCAAGAAAUUCAAAAUGCUUAUCACCUAUUUUUAUGCCAUUCUUGAGAAUAGAAAGGAUCCUUUCAUAUAUAUCCGUUCUCCCAUGUCCCGAAGCAGUGCGAGGAGAUAAAUCAGUUGAAUACAUUUUAUCCAGGUCCUCAUCCACAAAAGAAAUACGGAUAAAAUUGUCAAUGUUCUCAGAAUAACUCCGCAAUACAUGAUUUGAGACAUUAAUUUCUGGACCAAAAAAAUACACCCUACAUGGUGUUAUUUGCACCCUAUGUACAUAAACCAAGCCAGCAUCUAACGAUAUUGAAGACAGUUUUGUAGAAUGCCGGGAGGUGAGAUAUUUCUUGUGUUGCUCAAUCAACCACUGUGAAGGCUCAUAACAACAUUCUUUCAAAUGGAACAGCUUGUCCAAGGCAUCUAGGAUUAUGUCCAUGUCCAUCCUCCGUGGAUCAACCAUUCGAUAAAAGGACAAAUCAAGAGAAGGUCCAGCUAGACAGCCAUUCUGAACUAACAAAUUUAUCUUAAAGAUGAUCUCAUAAGGCAAGUCAACUCCUCUGGGAGGGCCUACGAUUGGAACUAGAUCCGCACUGCAGGAGAAAGGCGAACCAUUUUCCAUAGAAAGUGUUCCAUCGGUUUCCUUAUAAUUGACAAAGUUCUCAUGAAAAUUUGGAAGUGGAUAUUCACAAGGAAUUUCUAAACAUACAGCAGAAGACUGUCCAAUGCAAGCUGAGGGAGUAAAAUCAAUCGCUCUCACCCACUGGUCAUCAGAGCCAUCUUUGAAAAAGUUGUAGAAAUGACUGACCAAAACAUCCUCUGAAUACUGAACAACUUUUUUACGAAUAUAGGGAGCCCCAUACAGCUAACAUCCACAAGAACAAAAUUUAUAGAAAUAUAUUAGGUCCUCUAUCAUAAGCAGCAUAUUAUGCAAAAAAGCAUGCGUGGUUGAAUGGGAAGUGCAAGCAUAAGAAAAUAGAUAAAGGACUGGGUUUCUUUUGUGUCAGUGAAAGUAAAGGUUUGGGGAGUGAAGCCAAAGCCCAGAAGCUGGCCCCUUAUAAAGGAAAAUUCAUGAUGGCCAUCAAUAUAUUUGCCUCCAUGGAAGAUUUGCCACUAUGCCAAAAGUGUAAAAUUCUAAACCUUUUAGGCUCUAAAACAUUCAAAAGUUCCAAAUUAGCCAGAAGCAAGAAUAUGAUCAGCAGAUAUGAACUCUUAUCUCUAUCACUGAAAGGAACUUGUGUACCCUGCUUAGCCUCCUACUUAACCAACCUUGCCAUGACCCAGAACCUCAUUAAAUUCAAUUAACAAUACAUGAAUCAAACAAGAGUCUUCAUCUAACAUUAACAUGUAGCCUAAGAAGAUUGGAAUUAUUUAACCUAAAAAAUCACACGAUUCCUAAAAUCAAGAAACAACAACCUCAUGAAAAAUUAUAAUCAUAAACCUCCAAGCCUUAUCCUUUAAGACUGUUUACAAAAUUCUAUCAUGUCUUGCUGUGAUACUGUGCCUUAGUGAGUUUUCAAAUACUGAGUUUCAGUUAGGAAAUUAUCAACCACGGAAAAUGGCAUUGAAGUCAUAACCUUUCAAUUGUUGCAAUCAAGUCUUCCUAGCCAUAACUCAAUUUGAGUUCUCUUGUCUAGCAGUUCUCUUGUCUGGCAGCCUGUCUCAAGCUACCGCGUCUGCAUUUCAGGAAGAACGUAAUUGGAUAAUUUUUCAAAAAGUCCAAAAUUUCACCGCACAUAUUUACAAGUGCAGAACUUGCUUCAUUGUAUACUCAAGUUUUACAACUUCUAAUACACCUUUCCCUAUCAAUCAAAUAGCAUGCAACCUAAGUACAAGGUAGCCCCUAACGUGAUCUCCAAUAGGUGUAUCACCAGUGGUCCCUGCAGAACUUGCUUCAUCCCUCUACUUUCUUUCUCCCAAUUCAUAUGCAUCCCUUUAUCUAAAAAGUUCCACAUUACUCCCUCUGUUAUGUGUUUCUCUUGUUUGCAUAAAUAAUCGAAUUACUAAGUUGGACGUCAAAGCACGCAUGCUGUCUUAUGAUUCACGGAAUUUUUUUAUGUGGUGCCAUAAAAAUUGAAAAAAAAAAAAAAAAAAACAAACAAACAAAAAAGAGAGAGACAGUGGCACGGACUCAUGGCCAUGGCCACUUGAUCCGGAGCAUGCAACCAUGGCGCUUGAGCUCGUGGCCUCCAUGGCCACUAGAUUUGGACUUCCCCAAACCUUGAGCUCACAGCCAUGGCCACCAGUUCUGGAGCUUGCCUUGGCCGCUCGAGCUGGAGCUUGAGCUCGAGCGUGGGGCUGCUAUGGCUACCAGAUCUGGAGCUCACCAAAACUUGAGCUCGCAGCCACCAUGGCUGCUCGUGCACAAGGUUUAUUUUUUCCAUAUCUGGGAUUUGAGGGGGGUAGUAGAUGGUGACCACUUAGUAAUCGGUGUGUCAGCAGAACAUGUCCUUGAUUCCAACUAAAUCCGUGUGCUUCCUACAAUGAAAGUUUCAACCAUAUCUUUCCUAAAGAGCCCUCUUCCACAAUCUCUCUCUUAAUUUACAAAGUUGUUUUUGUCUAAGUCUCCCUUCAACAUCCAAUUUUUAAGAAAUUCCUUGCAGAUUGUAGAUACUGGAGAACUCAUCCUUCACUCCCACAAACUCACUACCUUGACCCAUUGUCGCAACCUAGCUCAAUGACCCUUGGGUCCCAAGACGAGUGGCUGUAACAGAAUUUUCCUCGUCCAGCCAGAGCCAAUCAAUAAUGUUUGGAGUUCUGCCAGCCAUUUCUCUGUAAAGAUAAGGUCUUGGCAAGCUAUCUAUGUUCAUGAGACAUUUGAUCCAGGCAGAAAUACCAUGAAGGUUAAACAGGGACAAAAAACAAAAAAACAAAAAACAAAAAACAAAACAUCUUCUAAAUGAGUUACAUCAAGUCAUCAACUGGGAGCUUGAAUAACCCCAUUUAGUGAGCUAAAAAUCAAAUCCCAACACUAUGGGGAAGAAUGUAGUACGAAGAAUUUUAACAUUCAUUGGAAUUAGAAGAUCACACCCAAAACGAUGUCCAGUCAAAUAUAAAAACCAAAUAUGCAUUGUAGGAUAAAUCACAAUAUUAACACAAAAUAGUAAAUCAGUCUCUUGUAAUCCGAAUGAAGUCCAAUCACCUGAAUCACAAGAUACAUUGUUUUAUGGCCUCUUGCACGAUGUAGCUCGAUCUGCCAAAUAUUUUCAUAGGAUAACUCGAGCUUAUACUCCGUAUUGUGAUAAGAUAGAAGGAAGCAGAAUUUUCUCAUCCCAAGCCCAAAAUUUAGGGAGACGUUCACCCCUUUCCACAGAGUAGAGAACCUUUUACUUGAUACCUGACAGCCAAAAUGCAAAGUGAUACCUUCCAUUGAAUGCGAAAGGGUUCUUGGCCUUUGUACAAUAUCAUGCUCAACCCUGCGAGCAGUUAGAUAAGAUCGCCCAUACCACAAAUCUUUUCGACUAGCAAGUAAAAUAAUCGACUCUGCAUAAUCAGCAUUCAUAAAUUGGACAAUCGCAUAUGAUCGAACCCCACGUUUAUCUUGUCUAACUUUGAUGGCAUAAAUAGUACCUCUGCCAGUCCUUUGCUCCAGGCAUCCCCUGACUGUAUCUACAGUCACUAAUGAAGGGAAUCCGUGUACAUUUAUAGUCUUACCCAUUUAACUGAUACAAACUUUAUAGCACUCUGUUACACCAUAUCAAGGGCAUCACCAGGAAUGACAGAAGAAUGCCAGGCUAGGGCCUUUGAAAAGCACAUGGACCAUUCAACUCCAAGCAUGAAGUUUGCCGUACUGAAAGGGGAAAAAGUUAGACAGGAAACAUGAAAAUUUCUAUAAACUGAUUGUUGCCUCAAACUACCACAAAUCAUCAUAGCGAUUGAUCAUCAAAUGAACACUUGAUUUCUCCAUCUCGAGAAAACUAUUUACAAGCAUAAUGGGCUUCAAACAGCUUUGUUCACAGUAAGCACAGGAGUGACCAGCAUCAGAAAAACAUCAAAAAGGCCUACAAUUUUAGGCAACCUAUCAACAUAUGACAGUGAUGGACUUUAUUUCCAAUUAACAAAAAUGCCUUCCCGAAAACAUCUACAUGUUGAUAAUCAUGAAUUCUUCAAUGAAGCAAAAUAAGGAAUUCAAAAUAAGAAUAUCAUUGGGACAUUCACAGCACUUCGAGUCCUUCUUAAGCCGCAAGAGAAUAGUGUGAAACUGCAACCAACUCACUAUUGUGAAUCAUGUGCACUUUUAUCAUUCAGGCAAACCUCAUUCGGAGAGAAUAUCAUUGGGACAUUCACAGCACUUCGAGUCCUUCUUAACCCACAAGAGAAUAGUGUGAAACUAGCAGAACAACUCACUAUUGUGAAAUCAAGUGCACUUUUAUCAUUCAGGUGAACCUCAUUCGGAGAGAAUGAGUAUUGGAGGAGAAUUAUUGUUGAAGGGUACCUAGCACUUUAUAUCAGCUGCCAGCAGUUGUAGCAGAAUAACUCACUAUUGUGAAAUCAAGUGCACUUUUAUCAUUCAGGCAAACCUCAUUCGGAGAGAAUGAGUAUUGGAGGAGAAUUAUUGUUGAAGGGUACUUAGCACUUUACAUCAGCUGCCAGCAAUUGCAGCAGAACCAAAUCUGUAUCUUGGCACAUAUCAAAAUGACAGAGAGAAAUCACUCAUUCGCAACUAUUGUUUCUUCAAUCUCGGAUCCAUGCUGAUAAAAGUAUCCACGAAAACCCAAGAUGUGUUGAUCCCAACUAAACUUAAGUCAAAUUUCAAGCAGCAGAAGUUCUCAGGAUGCUGUCCAAACACAUUCGUGAAUGGAACAACAGGACGUAACUGAGCUUUCCAACGAACAAAUUGCUACAGAGGUGAAACAGAAGGAAUUCCUAAACCUUUCCCAAUGGUAUAUUGACAGGCAUACAAAAGAAAUAGAUAAUUCCGCUAGGAAUGUAAAGUACCAAGAUGAAUACCUCCCACAAGCCCAUAACACUAUGUCAAAUUGCAAUUAGAUUCUCCACGAUGCUUCUUGAAAAAUUCCUUCCGAGUCAAUGUUUAUAUUUUAUAGUUGAGAAAAGGUUGCAAUUCUAACAUUCACACUCUAGAACAUAAAACGAACGAGGAAGCAGAAAUUCCAUUUUGUAGCCACAUCUAAAUAUCAUCAGAGAAAAGAUUGCAAUUCUUCUCAAAUGUCCGGAGCUUUUCUUUUCCAAUCACUUAUAUUUAGACGGGGCUACAAAAAUUCUUUCGAAGAAGUUGCACACAAAAAACACACAUCAAACAGCAAAAAUGGGUAAAAGUCCCAUCUUGGCAACGACAGGGUCACAAUUCAGCAUUUCAGCGCAAGCAGCAAAACAGGACACAUGUCUGACACAAAGAGCGCGAAUGUAGCGCACCACACGCCACUUGAGCGGCAGAACCAAUCAACACAAUAGGAAGUAAACCAUCAGCAAGCGCACGCUUGCGUUUUUUCGUCUUUUCUUUUCCCCUAUACCCAAGCACCAUCUCACUCCUGAAGCAAAUUCCCACACAAUGUAGCCUCUCCGAACCAAACACACCCCCCCCCCCAUCCCCCCCCCCCGGGAAAAAAAAAAAAAACCGUGAGAUCCACACGUGAUCGCAAACGUUCUUCACACGCCGGAGUUCCCACUCUCGAAUAUAACGUCCCAGUACAGCCAAAAAAAAAAAAAAAACACGGCGAUCGUAAAAAAUCCAAACUUUACUGACAAGAAGGAGAAGAAGAAGAAACCCAGUUACCUCUGAGAGCUCGCCGAGCAGGGAAGCAAGAAGGGUCUGUCUCUGCGGCGACACAGAGUGUAGUAGAAAAGGAAAGUGCCCAGGAGAGAAGACGGAGCAGCGUCUCCUCCGCCGACGCCCACCCAGAGUCAACCCCUCAGUCAACAACACCACACUGCACUAAAAAGUCAAUCAAUCACUCUCUCUCUCUCUCUCUCACUCACUCACGCUCAGUCGCUCCUGCUCUUCUGCAUUUGAUAUAGGGGUGGGGGAAGAGAGAGAGAGAGAGAGAGAGAGUGGAAAAGGCGACAAUUCCGUCCUUCGCGGGCCACGCUGGCUGACGAAUGAGAACGUGAGGAUCCCUCUGCAUGAAGCGGAGCGAGUUCCUUGUCAAGGAAGGAAGGUGUGUGUUUCCUCGGACGGGACCCACGCGCGGACGAAGAGAAGAAUACUGCCGUACUGCCACGUUUCGACAGGUGACUGCUUCUCCCCCCUUUUUCAAUUUUUGUCUUUCCCUUUUCCACUCCGGAGACUUACUGAAGAAAUUCUAGCCCCCCCGAAUCAAUUGGCAAAUAAAAUAAUCCUGAUUCCAUAUCUUUCACAAAAAAGUAUAUGAUUUGAAGAAUAUUUUAUGAAAAAAAUUCCAUUGAUUAGUUAUUCCGAUCAGAAGAACAAGUGAUCAGUUUUAGAAAUGUAUUUUUCAAAUUAUUCGUCAUUCAUGAAAUAAAAUGAGGCUAAGCAUUAUUUUGAUAAUCCAUGAGAUUAAUUGGAUACUGGAAAAUGAUAUUAGAAGUGUCAUGAUUUUUGUACGGCGCUCGUUUUAGUGUCAAAACAUUUUGACCGACUAUUUAAAUGUAACGUUGGUGUGAAAUCGUGCACUUUACUAUCUAUUCUCGCUAAUCGUCCCUCGUGACUUUUCAAGUUAAUUUUUUGGAACGAUCGUGGCUUUUCAAAAGAAAAAUCUAAGUCUAAGGUGGACAAUCUUCAAUUAAAAUGACAAAGAAUGAUUCGUUUUGGCCUUUUUGUUACGCAAAUUCACUCGAAACCGAAACCCUAAAUUCUACAAAGGGAUUCCUCUUCCGAGAAGCUUAAGCAGUGGAGAGAUUCAAGAUGAGAUGAGCAGUGGAGAGGAUCGAGCUUACGAGAUGACAAAGUGGGGAUCGGUCGAAUCAACUUCGUCGAGGUCCAGAUGAUGACGGGACAACGUGACACAAGGAAUGGCGCUUGAUUUGAAUGAAUCGCAAAGAACUUGCAGGUUUUUUUGGGACAUGAAUCGCGGUGUGCCUCGCCGGAAUCCUGCAAAUCGCAGACGAAUCGAAGGUUACGGAGAUGGCACGUUGGGUGCAUUGGGGAAAAUCGCCGGCAUCUUCCUAGACAUUUCUGCAGCUCCUUCUCUCCAGUUAGAUUUUUUUUUUUUUCCACUUUUUAAGCUCGACUUGAACAUCUUCUACCAAAUUCUUUUGCCAAGUUCACACUGUUAUCUUGCAAAAAAUCCCUCCCCCGAAUCCGCUCAGUCCUUUUUCUUUUCAAUUCCAGAUUGUAGUGUGUAUUUUCUUCGUCAAUUGUGCACAAACUUUAAAUGACUAAGCUCCAUUGAAGAACCAUCAUCGCUCAACCAUUGGAGAGGAAGAGGGACAAAUGGAGCAACAAAUCUCUUCCCCUUUUUUUCUUUUUUCUUUUUUUUGGUUUUUAUUUAUAGUUUUACCGAUAAGGCCAAAACAACUUUGUUUUUUCUUCAUGAUUUUUUGCUGAUUGGAUUUUCUUUGGCAAGCCAAGUCAAUUGAUUUACAGCAAAUUAACGUCAUGUCGGAUUUUCGAAUCAUACAAAUCGAGGAUGACAAUGAAGUGAUUCCUUUUUCCCAAAGUGACACUCAAGUGAUCUCUUAAAAAUUUUUGAUAUUAAGAGUGAAGUUGUAUGAAAAUUAUGAUACUUGAAUACUAGUUAAUAGAAGUGUAUAUCGGUCUAAUCCAAUCCAAGAAUCGGAUUGGAUUGGAUCGAAUCGGCUAAUUCUAAAUGGUUUCUAUGAGAAUCAGUCUAAUUCCUAGUUCUAAAAAUAUGAAAUUGGGAAUAAUUGAUUCAAUUUUGGAAUCGAGAACUAAACUGGUGUUUGGUUCCUUGUGUGAAACUAGACCGAACCAAAACGUCACGCUAGAGGUGACCCUAAAUUAAAAUUAGAGCUCUUUCUCUCUCUUUUAGACCAAAGCUUCUCACCGCUCUGAGCUGCUCACCUCUCUUUCGUGCAACCACCACCAUGGUCUCGAGCAACCACCAUCACAGCGAAGCUCCUCGUGUGGAAACCAAGGGUGAGAAAGAUGAAAGAGGUUCGUCAACGGAGAAACCCUUGGAUGCUUGAUGCGACGAGAGAGAGUAGAGGGAAAGUAUAAAGAGAGAGAUGCGGCUGUUUUAAUAAUAAAAGGAAAAGGGACAUCCAUAAAAAUAUUUCCCUAGUAGCUUGUCAAUUCCUCUGUGCACACUUUCUUAGGUAAAUGUUGAUUUGGUCCCACGAGGACUUUAAAAAAAAAAAAAGAGUAGUAAGGUACCUGUCUUUUCAAUUCUUUCGCUAAAUUAAUGAUUUAUUUAAAAAGAUUAAAGUAAAUAUAGUUGCGAACGGCUAUAUUUUACUCAGUUACUUUCUUGAGCAAAAUCAAAAAUUAAAUCAAAUCAAAACCGAAAACCUUUUUCUCAAUUCCAGAACCACUUGGUUCGGUUCCUAAUUCUAACCUUCGGAAUUGGCAGGCACAAGAUUGAUUCUCGGUUCUAGGCUAUGGAUUGAUCAAUUGAGAACCAAAUCACCCAUAUUGAUUAAAAACUCAUGAUAAUAAAAAAUUUGCAUGUUGUGUUUUCAUAAUGAGUUGGAAGCUACUUAUCCUCCGUGGAAAGUGGUCAAAACUAAUGAAUUUUGCAAUUCAAAUGUCAUGUGAGAAGAAGAAAUUUUAAGAGAAAUUAACAAUGAAUGAUACCUAAUUUGCUUCGGGCUUCAGAACCUAAGCCAGCCACUAGGAGAUUUACUAUGAAUCCACAUUGUACAGAUUUAUCAAUCUUUCGAUUGGUCAAGUGUUUCCCAAGCACUAACCUCUUACAGAGAAUUCACUUAAAAAAAUUUCAGAAAAAAUCUUAUAACUUUUUUUGUUUGCUCUAGUAUGUUCACCAAUUUGAAUUCCAUCUACUGUAUAUACAUGAUGCUUGUAUCCAAAAAAAAAAAAAAAACUUUAGGAAACUUGUUGAAACUAUUCAAAUUAGGAAACCUACAUAAACUAAGAAACCUAUUUAGAUUGGGCUCAAAUUUAAGUCAUAUUCUUAACAUAAGCUUACUAAUGUAUGGAAAACUUACUAAUCACAUGACAAGUUAAUCAGCAACAUAUUGAUAUUUUUCGAAUGAAAAGCAGUGUUAAAGGUACUCAACAACUAUAAAAAAAAAAAAAAAAUUACUAGGAACUUAUGCAUAUUAACUCUUCAAGUACAUAAAGUCACCAAUUCCUAGGAGAAAUUAUCAAAAAAGUCCCAAACUUAUUACACAUGUGUCAAUUCAAUUUUAAACAUUUCAAAUUGAUCAAUUUAGUCUAAAAUCCGUUGUAGUUGCACUAAUUUAGUCGUAAACAUUUCAAUCAUUUUGCCAAAUGAAUCAUAAAUAUUUUGAUGAUUUAUUAAUUUAGUUAUAUAAGCUAACUCUAGCUAGAGAUUGCUAACGUGAUAGUUCAGUAAACGCUAGUUAUCCUAAGCAACAUGGUAGCACUGGCAUGGAUGAUAUAUCCAACUAAGUUUUAAUAGAUACCAAAAGUAUAUUUACUUUUAAUUAGCAACGCUUUCACCAUCACUACCAAUGUGAUUGAUAUCCACUAACUCUUCCAUAAGUGACUACAACGUAUUUAUUGCACAAGUAACUUAUACUAAUGGACCCAAAAAAAAAAAAAAAAACACAAAACACAAAAGCAAAAGUGAAAAGACAUCUCAAGAGUCGAGAUAUGCUCAUUUGAUGCAAUUUCGUCGGAGGGACAUGGUAAUAUUUCCUACUUGGGCCUCUAAGGGUACGUUUGUUUGUGUUUAUGUUCAAAAAUUGUUCUAGGAAACAGAAAUUAAAAAAAAAAAAACUAUUUCUGUUCCGGGGAAUAAUUUUUAACCAGAAAAACGUGUUUGGUAAACUUAUUUCGGAAAUAAAAAAAAGAACCGAAACACGUUUGGUAAAUUUAUGUUCUUUUUUUGUUUCUUUUAAUUUUUUAAUAUUUUUAUUUUAUUUUUCCUUUUUUUCUUUCUUUUUUUUUUCUUUUUUUCUUCUUUUGGCCAGUCGCAAGCCUCAGUCAUGGCCGUUGACCGGCCGACACUCGCCGUGGUUGGGCGAGGCUCAGCCUCACCUUGGGCUGGGCGAGCUAUGUUUUAAGACCUUGAUGCAAGGAUACCUAACACUCAAUAUAGUUUUCCAUGAUUGUAGCAUUAGUGGGCCUUUUCCACAUUACCUAGCGCAUAAAAGGUGUGAAAGGAUGGCCCAGCAUCAGACUAAUGAAACCAUCCGCUUUAGAAGUUCGGAUUGGUAGCCAAACGAGUGAUNNNNNNNNNNNNNNNNNNNNNNNNNNNNNNNNNNNNNNNNNNNNNNNNNNNNNNNNNNNNNNNNNNNNNNNNNNNNNNNNNNNNNNNNNNNNNNNNNNNNCUUAGGAAACAGUUGAAUAGGAUAGAAUCCAGCAUACAGAAUCCUACCCAACUCAUCACAUCACAAGUAGACACUUUCAAAAAACCCAUUUUUAAAGCUUUUGAAUUUCCAAAAAAUCUUAGCCCGGAGUUUGCUAAAGCCAUAGAACAAAAGAAAAAACUCCUAGGGAAAUCAAAGCUAGAGCAUGCUCCUAUUAUAGACAUUCUCGCGAUUUUAUUUAAGUUAUUUACUUUCUUGUUCUUAUACAUAAUUUCCUUUUAGAUACAUCCUUCCUUGUUUUCAUACAGAUCUGUUAGUCUCUUAUACUUCCUUGUUCUCUCAUAUAGUACUCCGAUCCUAGCUCCUUUAUGGUAUCAAAGCUAGUGGGAAGGUAUAGAUAGUCUUUGUAAGAACAUACUCAUAGAUCGAGAGCCAUUCGUUGGCAUCCUUCUUGUUUCUACAGAGUGGUCCAAGCCGUAAGUCCCUGAGUGGCUGUUAGACCGUUGGUUUAGCUCUGUAACGCUUCUGAAGAAGGAACAGUUCCGAUCUUAAGUAUGAGUUUACAUAGAAGAUCUACAUCUUCCUCUAGUUCUCUAUCACAAAUGGACUCAGAUCCCAGUCCUAUACAUAGAGAAGAAGUAAGGAUAGAAGAUUUCAACAAAUCUAUAGAGAAUUGGGAAAUUCCUAAAAUAUAGCUUAAAGAAAUAUACAAACAAUCAAAAUUAAAAUUUUUCAAAAAAUCAGACUAUGUCAUAUCCACCAAAGAAAGAGAUGUUCCUCUUUCUAAUUCCUAUGAGAAAAUACAUCUUUUAAACAAAGAGUCCAUCCAAAAGCAUAAACAAAAAUACAAUUACAUUCAUAUAGGACUAGUCCAAGUAGGAGUCAAACCUCUUACAAAAGAAGGUCUUAAUACCUCUAUUCUUCUAGUUUUACGAGAUUCACGUCUCUUAAACUAUGAUGAGUCCAUACUUGGUACUGUGGAGACAAGUCUCUGCAAAGGACCUAUACAUUUUGAUUGUUACCCUAAUUUCUCUGUUUCUCUCAAAGAUAAGAAUAUUCUUAGAGCCCUCACACUCCAAAUCAAAACCCAUAAUUACAAAGUGGCAGAUGGAUCUAUUCCUUUAGCCUUUGUCUAUAGAAUUCAUUAUAAAGCCAUGUCCUCCGCUUUUGGAGAAAAUGCUUUCAAACAUAGUCCACGGGGAGAAACACUUCUUCUCCAAACUGACAUUUCUAGAGCAAAUACAACAAUUCCUAGGUUUAUUAAUUGGAACCAAGUUACUUUACCAAAAAAAUGGGAAUUAGAAAACCAAAUUCCCCAACAAGUUGUUCAAAAUACAGAUCCGACUAAUGUCAUUCAACAUCCAGAAGGAAGAGUGACCAUUAGAUUUCCUCGAAGAUCUUUCGAUUCAAGAUCUAGUCAUUCUUUUCAUAAUUCUUAUACAAGGUCCAUAGAUCUUAAUCCUAAUCUUCCUCCUAUAAUCACCAUUCCUCCAAGUACUCAUAGAAACACCCCUCUCUAGUAUGCAUAGAGAUACUCCCACACACGAUACAACACCUUUACCUCCUUCCACCAGUAGAAUUAAUCAAGAGACACCUCUUGAACCAGAAAUUAGUGGUUUAGAUAAUAGAUCAUGGAUUUUUAGGCCAGUUUAUCAACAAAACCAGCGUGAACCAGUCCUAGAAAGUACAGAUUCCCCUCAUCAUUCUCCUACUUAUUCUCAAAUGAUAGAUACCGAGCUUAAUGUUUUAGAAAAACAUUUUGAACCAAACAAGGCUUUCCUUAAUAAAGAAUUUAAUUCUGAAAACAACAGACAAAUCAGAGAAUGGUUCUUCAAAACCUUUGCUGAUAAAGCAAAAGACAUUAAACAAAAAUAUUACGACUACAUAUAUGAAUAUGAAGUCCAUAUAUUUUUCUUUGAUUGGCUAGAAGAACAAUUCCUUGAACCAAAAGAAAUAAUUGUUUUAGAUCAUCAUUAUAAGUGGAAACUUGAUAAUGGUGAAACCAUAGAAUCCAAUCAUCCUCCUCUUAGGUGAAUAAAAAUACAACAUGGAGAAAGCGAGGUUACAGCUACCCCUUUUAGGCUUCCAGAUCAAGGACACUCUCUUUAUACUCACAAAGUCAUUGAACAAAACAAUUACACUAAUCAACAUUUGGCGACCAUAGGAAAACAGUUGAAUAGGAUAGAAUCCACCAUACAGAAUCCUACCCAACUCAUCACACCACAAGUAGACACUUUCAAAAAACCCAUUUUUAAAGCUUUUGAAUUUCCAAAAAAUCUUAGCCCAGAGUUUGCUAAAGCUAUAGAACAAAAGAAAAAACUCCUAGGGAAAUCAAAGCUAGAGCCUGCUCCUAUUAUAGACACCCCUAAAUUCCAGAAUCUUAUCAUUAAAGACACUCCUGACCAACCCACUAUCAGUACAUUGACCAAACAAUCUGGUGACUCUGAUAAUGAAUCAGUCGCUGAGAUUAAUUGACUCAAUUGGAGACAACCUCAGAAACUUUAUUAUAGCAGAGCUACCCCACCUGGCAUUGUCCAAGAAGAAUCAUCACAGAAAAUACAGAAUAAAUACUCUCCCGACGCCAUUUAUGAAUGGAAUAUAGAUGGUGUUGCCGAAAGCAAUAUCAUGAAUAUUUUAAAUAACAUGGUAAUGCUUGCCAAUGCCUACAAAACCCAGCAAGAUGUUUAUGAUCAUGCUGUUGCUAAUCUUUUAGUAGUCGGAUUUAUUGGACAACUAAAAGGUUGGUGGGAUAAUUAUUUGACUGAUGAACAAAGAAUACAAAUUUUAACUGCCUAUAAAAUCGAUGACUUUGGCCAACGCAUGGAUGAUGAUCAAGGACAUCUUAUCCAAGAUGCGGUCAAUACUCUUAUCUAUUCCAUUUCACAACACUUCAUAGGAGACCCUUCCCAUAUUAGAGAUAGGAACCAAGAUCUCUUAUCCAACAUGCGUUGCAAAUCCUUAGGGAGAUUUAGAGAAUACAAGGAACUCUUCUUUCAAAGGGUUCUUAUCAGACCUGAUUGCAAUCAACCCUUUUGGAAAGAAAAAUUCUUAACAGGUUUAUCUCAAAUUAUAGGUGACCAAGUUAGAAAUAGAAUUAGAGAAGAAUACAAUGGUCAAAUACCUUAUGAUAUUCUUUCUUAUGGAGAAAUAAUCUCUUAUGUUUACAGACAAUGAACCCAAAUGUGUAAUACUAUUAAAUUACAAAGACAACUUAAGGAAGAACAAUCUCUCACCAAUAGAAGUCUAGGAGAUUUUUGUGCUCAAUACGAUCCCUCUUAUAAUGAAAAAAUAAAACCAAAAUGUAAGGGAACUUGUCCUUUUGAGAAAGAAACAAAGAAAUAUCACAACAAACCUCCACCUCGUAGAAAUAAACAAAGACACCAGAAUAACCAAAAUAGACCUCAUACUGAUAGAAAAAAUUUCAAAGACAUUAAAUGUUAUUCUUGUGGUAAAAAAUGUCAUAUUUCAAAAUACUAUAGGAUUAAUAAAAAAUUAAAUGAACUCUCUCUUGAUGACAAUACUCUUAACCAGUUAAACAACAUCUUCAUAGAAAAUGGUGAUACUUCUUCUGAUGAAUUUCUUGAGGAAGAAGGUCUUCAGAUCAAUGAAAUAGAUUCCUCUUUUGACUCUGAUUAUGAAGAUGCCUCUCCUGAAAAACAUGUUCCUGAAAUAAACAUGUUAACAAAAGAAGAAGAAUUUCUCCUUAGCACUGCUGAUAAGAUCACUGACCCAGAAGCCAAGAAAGAAUACUUAGAUAGAUUACAUUAUUCCUUAAAUAUUACCUCCAAACCCAAUACUUCCUACAAUUUAAAAGACAUUUUAAAUAGAAACAAAAAACCCCAGUCCAGCCCGUUAAUAUAAAUGACCUUCAAAAUGAAAUAAAACAACAAAAGUUAGAAAUUCAAGCCCUGAAAGCAACACAGUUAGAUAUAAAAAAAGAGAUUUCUGACAUAAAAUCUCUUGUCAUAACAAGAAAAACAAAAUUAGAAAACCAAAACGAAAUCACCAAUACAUCAGACAAUCCGGACCCAGCCUUCCUUAUGUUAUUAACAGAAAUAACAUCUAGAAAAUGGUUAAUAAAUAUUAUGAUAAAAAUCAACAAUGAGUUUAUUAUUGAAACAACAGCACUCUUUGAUACAGGAGCUGAUCUCAAUUGUAUCAAAGAAUGCCUUGUUCCAACAAUAUACUUUGAUAAAACUUCCGAAUCCUUAAAAUCAGCCUCAGGUGAUAACCUUAACAUCCAAUACAAAUUACCAAAAGCCUUAGUAAUAAAAGAUCAAAUGUCUUACAAAACAUCUUUUCUUUUAGUAAAAAAUAUGAGGCAACAAAUAAUUCUUGGAACACCUUUCAUACAAUUAAUACAACAUUUUACAGUUACUAAUGAAGGUAUUGAAACCCAUGCUCUAAAUAGAAAAAUCACCUUCAACUUUAUAACAAAACCACAGAAGAGAAGUCUAAAUAUUUUACAAGAACAUUCUAUUUCAGAAAUUAAUUGCCUUAUAAAAGACAAAGAAAAUCAGCUUGAAUUCCUAAAAAAAGAUUUAGAAUUCAAAAGAAUAGAAGAAAAUCUUAUAAAACCAAACAUCAUAGAAAAGAUAGCUUCCCUACAAAAACACAUAGAAAAGACUAUAUGCUCUACUCUACCCAAUGCCUUUUGGGAAAUAAAGAAGCAUAUCGUUGAUUUACCUUAUGAACAUGAUUUUUCUGAAAACAAAAUACCUACCAAAGCCAGCCCAACACAGAUGAAUCAAGAAGUUUUGAAAUUCUGUCAAGAAGAAAUACAAGAUCCCUUGAAUAAAAAACUCAUAAGAAAUAGCCAAUCACCUUGGAGUUGUUCUGCUUUUUAUGUCAAUAAAAAUGCUGAACUUGAAAGAGGAGUUCCCAGGUUAGUUAUUAAUUAUAAACCUCUUAAUACAACCCUUAGGUGGAUAAGAUAUCAUAUACCCAAUAAAAAAGAUUUGUUAAACAGACUUUGUAGAUUAAAAAUAUUUUCAAAAUUUGAUAUGAAGUCAGGAUUUUGGCAAAUACAGGUCAGUGAAAAGAAUAAAUACAAGACAGCCUUCACAGUCCCUUUUGGCCAAUAUGAAUGGAAUGUUAUGACAUUCGGUCUCAAAAAUGCCCCUUCAGAAUUCCAAAGGAUUAUGAAUGAGAUUUUCAAUCCUUAUUCAGAGUAUAUCAUAAUUUAUAUAGAUGAUGUUCUAGUAUUCUCUUCCAAUAUAGAACAUCAUUUCAAACAUUUAUCUACAUUCAUAAAAAUAAUCAUACAAAACGGUCUUGUAGUCUCUCCUACUAAAAUUGCACUCUUCAAAACCAAGAUUAGGUUCUUAGAUUAUUACAUUCAUUUAAGCACCAUCACUCCCAUAGAAAGAUCAAUCUCUUUUACUGAUAAAUUCCCUGAUGAAAUCAAAGACAAAACUCAAUUACAAAGGUUUUUGGGUAGUCUCAAUUAUAUUCUAGAUUUCUUUCCCAAUAUAAAUAUCAUUUGUAAACCUUUACAUCAAAGGUUAAGAAAGGAUCCUCCACUCUGGACUUCUGUCCAUACAGACAUUGUCAAACAAAUAAAAAUACAUGUGAAAGAUAUACCAUGCUUACAUCUAGCUGACGCUUCCACUUUCAAAAUAGUUGAAACAGAUGCAUCAGAAUUAGGAUAUGGUGGCAUUCUCAAACAAGUCAAAAACAACAAAGAGCAAGUUGUUCAGUUUAUAUCAAAACAUUGGAAUUUCACUCAACAAAAUUAUUCGGCAAUCAAAAAAGAAAUACUUGCUAUAGUUUUGUUUAUAUCAAAAUUCCAAGGAGAUUUAUUAAAUCAAAAAUUUCUCUUAUGAAUUGAUUGCAAAUCAGCCAAAGACAUUUUACAAAAAGAUGUUUUAAACAUUGCAUCAAAACAGAUUUUUGCCAGAUGGCAAGCCAUACUUUCAGUAUUCGAUUUUGACAUUGAAUUUAUAAAUGGUUCUUCAAAUUCAUUGCAUGAUUUUCUCACAAGAGAAUUUUUACAGGAAAUACCAAUAUGCCAAGAUCCAAAAAAGACAAAGACAAAGACAAAGGCAAAACCACUACCGAACCCUCCAAUACACCACCAAAGCUGAAAGGCUUAACAUCUGUCAAAACAUGGCUUGAAAUGACAGAAGACAACCAGUCAUUCUUACGCCAAACACCUGUGAAAAUAGAACAUAUAUCAUUUGAUCCCACGCUAGCCUUUAAACAACUAGCCGAUAUGAUACCAAAAGAAACAAUUCUGUUACUUGCCCAGUCCUUACAAAACACAGCAAAAAAGGAGACAUCCAGUGCUAUCGAGGUAAGCAACAAUCCUUCCCCACUUGCUACACAAAAGCAAGCAGAAUACAAAAGAACUUCGAAUGAGGUGGUUAUUAGGCUACAGGCAACCCCUCAAUCUCAAAAAUCAAAAUUUUUCCCCAAAACAUCAUUUCAGAAAAUAUUAACUAUGGAAGAUGGAUUCUUUGACAAAGAUCCAAUCUUAUUUGCCAAAAACAUUUUCCCAAAAAACUGGUUAUUUAAACCACACAAUACAAAUAAAACCCUUGCUUAUUACAAGCAAAUUUUAAUGGAAACAGAAUCAGCAAGGUUUACCCACUUUGCUGACAAAAACAAUACAGAAAACAUUAUGUACUCUACUAUUUCCAUUAGUAAAGUCAUACACCCCCUUACAUUGGGGAACUUCACCUCAUACACCCAAAAAAUUCCAAACCAGGCUUACCCAAAACCUACCAUACUCCUCCUCAUAUACAUACUGGGACUACCAACAAGCUUGGUGGAACGUUUUCUUCAGACAAAAUACAAAUUUCCAACACACCUGGUUGUUAUUCUUUAAAGAUAACUUCCCAAGACAAAGCCUACCAAACUGGUUUGACUCUUGGUGGGAUCUCUUUGGUCAUUUGGACAUAAUACUACAUCCCACAGUCAAACAAGGUUACAAGGUUUUCAGUGAAUACUUCGUACCAACACCGCAUGAUAUAAGGUUCCCAUGCAUUAUGCAUGGGGAUUUGAAUACAAUACAUCCACAAAACCUAGUGUACCAGUAUUUGUCUGUAAAUACAAAACAAAAUGGUGGGAUGGAUUCAAUAGACUUGAACAAGGAUCCGAAGCUGCGGUUAAAACAUGGUUAAACAGCCAGAAAACUCAAAUAAUCACAGCCCCAUCAAAUACAUCGUUCUUACAAGAGAAAUCUAUGGCAAGUGCAUCACUUGCCGCAGUCCAAAACAGAGAGGAAUACUGCAACAUCCUCAGGACAAUGCUCUUAGAAGCGGAAGAAUCACAAUGUGGAUCUUCCAAAUCUCAAAACAGUCAAGACGAAUCCUCCCAGUCACAUCACAGUGGAGACACUAAUGAAGACGACUACUACAGGAUCAAUCUGGACAGAGAUUAAAAUCAAAGACAUCACAUGCAGACACUAUUACAAGCGGUGCAAAGGCUAUACAUUAUAGCAUAAUAGAGAUACAAUGUUCAUACAAUGUUCACUUUACACUGUUCACUCAGUACUGUUCACUUUACACUGUUCAGUACUGUAGCACUUUCACUGUAAUCCUCACUAUAAAUACACCCUCUCGACACAAGGAAAGAGGACCGAAAUUUUCUAGAUUUCUCUCUUCUUUCUCUCUCUCUCUCUCUCUCACUUGUAAACCAUCAUCCCUUCCAUCUCCAUCCUCAUCUCUUCCAUCUCCAAGCUCUCUUACCUUGUAUCCCCUGGUUUCAAAGUAAGUUAGUUUUUCAUAUACAUAGUUUUAUACAAGGUUACCAACUUACAUGAUAGUUGGUUAACCAUUUCUUGUAAUACAAACAUAAAUAUUCCCUGGAGUGCGGAUUACCGCCCUAGUGGAUGACUUGAUGCUUUAGUUUCUGCAUCCUUCAAUACAUGUAAUUUCAGCUUUUCAGCUUUAUAAUACAAGUUCAUACCACCUUCAUGGUUGGUUUUUGUUUAUGCAUACUUUUACUUUAUAUUCUAUAUAUUGCCUUUGCUCUUUACAUUAUUUUUAAUUCUCGCAAUUUUAUUUAAGUUAUUUACUUUCUUGUUCUUAUACAUCAUUUCCUUUUAGAUACAUCCUUCUUUGUUUUCAUACAGAUCUGUUAGUCUCUUAUACUUCCUUGUUCUCUAAUAUAGUACUCCGAUCCUAACCCCUUUAUUCUUUAUUCAUCAGUCAAAUAAUUAUCCCACUAACCUUUUAGUUGUCCAGUAAAUCUGGCUACUAAGGGGGUGCAUGACAACCCAAAAUUUCUGUUACAGAAAUAGUUUUUUUAUUCCAGACCUGUUUCUGGAAGAGAAAUCCGUUUGAUAAACCUAUUCAGUUUUUCUAUUUCUUGAAUAGAUUUCUCUUCCAGAAAUAGGUUUGGAAGAGAAAUCAAAAGCUAAAAUUUUAUACUUCUGAUUUCUAGAAGAGAAAUCAGAAAUAAUUUCUCUCACUAAACCCUAAUUUUGGUAAGUCCUCCCUCAUCUCCUCUACGUCUCUGCCUCCUCCUCCUCCUUCGUCUCUUCUCAUUUUAUUAAAAAUAAAAAUAAAAAUAUUAAAAUAAAUAAAUUAUUUUUAUUUAUUUUAAUAUAUUUAUUUUUAUUUUUAAAUGAAUAAAAUGAAUAUAUAUAUUUUUUAUUUUAUUUUAUUUUAUUUUAUUCAUUAUUUUUUUUGUUACUAAAUCAUUUUUAUUUUUAUUUUUUAUAUUAAAGGUCGUCGGUCGUCGUCGCCAUCGUCCGAAAGGAAAAAAUUUUGUGUCGUUAUCAAACGGUUAUUUUUGCUUAAAAACUCUUCUAGAAAUAGAAAUAGAAAAAUCUAUUUCUGUUUCAGAAACUAUUUCUGGAACAAAAUGGUUGUCAUGCGCCCCCUAAAAGAUUAGCAACAGCAUGAUCAGAAACAUCUUGCUGGGUUUUGUAGGCAUUGGCAAGCAUUACCAUAUUAUUUAAAAUAUUCAUGAUAUUGUUUUCGGCAACACCAUCUAUAUUUUUGUUUCUAUUUAAAAUGUCUUUUAAAUUGUAGGAAGUAUUGGGUUUGGAGGUAAUAUUUAAGGAAGAAUGUAAUCUAUCUAAGUAUUCUUUCUUGGCUUCUGGGUCAGUGAUCUUAUCAACAGUGCUAAGGAGAAAUUCUUCUUCUUUUGUUAACAUGUUUAUUUCAGAAACAGGUUUUUCAGGAGAGGCGUCUUCAUAAUCAAAGUCAGAAGAGGAAUAUAUUUCAUUGAUCUGAAGACCUUCUUCCUCAAGAAAUUCAUCAGAAGAAGUAUCACCAUUUUUCUAUGAAGAUGUUGUUUAACUGGUUAAGAAUAUUGUCAUUAAAAGAGAGUUCAUUUAUUUUUUUAUUAAUCCUACAGUAUUUUGAAAUAUGACAUUUUUUACCACAAGAAUAACAUUUAAUGUCUUUGGUGGUGUAUUGGAGGGUUCGGCAAUGCAUAUAUAUAUAUAUAUAUAUAUAUAUAUAUGUAUGUAUGUAUGUAUGUAUGUAUGUAUGUAUGUAUGUAUGUAUCAAAUUAUCUUUAUCUCAAUACAUGAGUUUUACAAAAUCAAAGAAAAUAUUAGUAUUAUAACAUCGUUGUCUACAAUCAAACAAUAAAAGGUACUUAUAUUGGCAAACUUGCGGCUUAAGCGCUACAUUGUACUUAUAUUGGCAAACUUGCGGCUUAAGCGUUACAUUGUACUUAUAUUGGCAAACUUGCGGCUUAAGCGUUACAUUGCAUAGUCAUAUCGACGAAAUCCCCUUUUUCUCUCCCCUUUUCUCUCUCUCUGUUCUAUCUCUCCCCCGGGAGCUCUCGGCCCCUUUUAAAACCGAGCGUGACCUGUCCCACCAGUCUUAUGAGGUCAACCUUGGCCGGCUGGCCGGGCGUGACAAAGAGCGUGUCCUAUUUUUGCUUUCCUUCUACUUUUUUUUUUUUUGGUUUGGAAUAUGCUUAGUUAACCGUACCCUCAUAUGAUUAAUCGCCAGCCACAUAUUUUGGAAGAGAGGGAGAGAAUUGUGUCUUGCUUGGAUGCUUGAGUUCUUUUAUGGAGUCCACAAAAUGUGUGGCUGGGGAUUCACCUUCCAUUUUCCAAGCUAAGGGUACGCUUAACCAAGUAUAUUUCUUUUUUGGUGGCUCGCACCGCUUUGAAAAGUCGAAUAUUACGAAGCAACCUUGAAUAGCCGGACAUGAGAUAAAGAAAUGUUGACAAGCUGUGCCAACAGUCGGAGAAUAUAUAAUGGUAAAGGCUUUAGAUGAAACGCACACAAAGAAGAGGACUUAACCAGAGCACUAGCUCAUAAAACUUAACUAGCAGAGAAAGAGAGAGAGAGAGAGAGAGAGAGAGAGAGAGGAGCAGCAGCGGCACGGAGGAGGUGGCGGUUAUGGAAUCGUACCCGAUGAACGGUGGGGAUGGCACGUUCAGCUACAACAAGAACUCUUACUUGCAGGUUCUUCAUUUGAUGUUAAGUAGAUGCACUUCCAAGCAACCAUUUCUUAAAUUUCAUGGAAUAAGAGCUAAAUGAUAGAAUUAAUUGGUCUAUCUUUCGCUAAGCUUUGCCUGAAUUCAGCUUCUGAAACUACUCUCUGGUUGUUCAUCUCUUGUGACCCCUUAUGGUUUCAACUAGACAAGUUUUUAAUCAUCAAAGUCGAACUUGCUACUCUGACACGUAUUGCAGAGAGCGUCAACCAACGUCUCCCGGGCGACAAUCGACAAGGUGAUCGCAGAGAAGCUCGACAUAAAGCAAUUUUCUCCUGCUCUGACCACAUUCCAGAUCGCGGAUUUAGGCUGUUCGAUCGGGCCAAACACCUUUCUUGCGGUCCAAAACAUCAUAGAGGCAGUCCGACGCAAGUACGAAUCACAAGGCCUCUCCUCCCAAUUGCCUGAUUUCCAAGUCCUGUUCAACGACCACGCGUCCAAUGAUUUCAACACCCUCUUCACUUCCCUGCCAUCUGACCGGCCGUACUACGCGGCUGGUGUGCCAGGAUCCUUUCAUGGGCGACUGUUCCCCAAGGCGUCCCUCCAUUUCGUGCAUUCGUCUUAUGCGCUUCAAUGGCUUUCCAAGGUGCCUAAAGAAUUGGUUGAUCCAAAUUCCCCAGCAUUUAACAGGGGGAGAGUUCACUACACAAGUGCUCCACGCGAAGUGAGCGAUGCUUAUACAUCUCAGUAUGCACAGGACAUGGUGAAAUUUCUGCACGCUAGAGGUGAGGAAAUUGCGAGUGGAGGCAUCAUGGUUCUAGUCAUGCCCGGGAUUGCUAAUGGCAUUCCUUAUUCACGUAUGCCAUCAGGCGUGAUGUUCGACCUUUUGGGAUUCAGCUUGAUGGAUAUGGCAAAGGAGGUAAAAACUGGAAACGUUGUCAGCAAAAUUUUCUUUCUUACCAAAAAUAGUUAUAUAUGUGCGCAAGUGUAUAUCAGCAUAGUUCACUUACAGGUCUCACAAAUUUAAAUUUAGCGAAAAUAUAGAUAAUCCAUAGUUCAUGUCUCAUUUGUGCAUGUCUUAAUGUGUUUAUCAUAUGCAUGUGGACCCUUUAACGGAUUUCUUAAGGCUUUCAUUCCAUCGUUAGUUCACUUAUAUUCAAAGCAAUCCCAUUGAGUUGCACAGAUGACUUGAUGAAAGUAACUCUCUACAGGGUAUAAUAAGUGAGGCUCAGGUAGAUUCAUUUAAUUUGCCUGUGUACGCUCCCUCUCCUGACGAGUUGACGGCACUAGUAGAGAGCAAUGGGUGUUUUAGCAUAGAGAGGAUGGAUUUAGCAGCUAUUGGAUCGAAGAUCGAUGACUCGUUCGGAGGGCAUGCUUGCAUGCUGCACUUAAGAGCUGGAAUGGAAGGCAUCAUCAGCAAACAUUUUGGAAGUGAGAUAAUUGACGACCUGUUUGAUCGUUAUCUCGGGAAAACCAAUGAAUUUUCCGACCGUUUAAACUCUUCAGUACGUCAAGGAAGCCAACUGGUAGCAAUACUGAAGCGCAAAUAAUGCGCACCUGGGAGUGGGGUCCGCACUUUUUUCAAAUAAAGUUCUAGAUAUCUACUUUCCUCUUCGAAUUCAUAUGUCCCAUAUAAGGCACUCGAAAUCUGAAUACGGUGAGGAUAUUUAGCAUUUGUCCUGGUAUGAUCUUUACAGUACUUGUAUUGCAAUUUUUGAUGAAGUAUCAAUGUAUUGAACUUUUUGGUACUCUGAGGCUUCGUUAAGCAAGAAGUCAUCACCUCCGCAAUGAUGUGCACCAAGAAGGUGCUUCAUCAAGAAAUAAAGUUAAGCAGCAUUACGAUGCUUGUCCUCAUACAUGGAAUAGCUUUGGCACAUAAUUCUAAUUUUUUGAUUCUAUAAGUAAUUUAAAUAUUUGAAAUUUGAUGUGUUGGGCUUCCUUUUCUACUGAGCUGGACUGCAUAACUUCUUUCAAUUUAUCCCACGAGAAAACAAGAAAGAAACUAGGCAGAUUGUCUCGUGAGACCUAGAAUCGAGCGUGUAAAUAAUUGCUUCAAUGGAAGCUGAUUUCCAGACUGCAGAUUUUGGUGCAGUGAGAUAAUGAGUCGCAAAUUUUUCUGCUCCUACUUUUUAAGAUAAUAUUGUACUUUUGGCAUCAAUAUGAUCUUUAAAUUGCUCGUAAGAAAAUCUUGUUAAUCUCCUUUGUGCUGAGGAAUGUUCCAUCCCCAUGAUAACAGCUGCCGCAAAUUUUUCCCCAUCAGCCAUGGCAAGAGCAUGAUCUAUUCUCAAAUUCCAUGACAAACCAAAUCUGAUGCAGCGUCAUCUGGCCUAGAGCCAUUAUCUGAGAUUACAGAAAUGUUAUUAUGUUCAAACCCACCAGCAUUAGGAAUCCGAGGAACCUGUGGCAUGGAAGAAUAACUAUCAUACACAGAAAUUUAUGGGGUAUGCAAAGUUUAUCGCGAUACGGAAAUUCCAAUUCAGAAAGACUAUAGACAGUGAACAGCCGUUUGACAUUACCAUUAUGUACAAAAAGAUGUAAUGCACACACAAAUAGCAGUCAGAAUGUUAUUUAAGCUUCGCUACACAAACAGCAGGAAUUUAGGAGUACCGUUGCCUACACAUUUGCAGAAGACCCAAAUACAACAACUUCGGUUUCUUCAACUGAGAAAAUAUCCAAGUUGGAUUUCUCAAUUCAGACGCAAUCGGGUGAAGUAGUCUUCAAGAGUGGACUUACGAGCACUCAUCCUACCUCGUUUUUCCUUCUUAAUUUGGAUUAGUUUAUCAUAUACACACCAAGGAAAGCUAAGAUAAUGAUCUCGUUUUAAACCCUCGUUGUAGCAACCCCAAUACUCCGGAUGAUACGUGACAUGAUACCACGCAGAUGCUUUUGCAUAUUCAUCAACGGGCUCAGAAUACGAACCACUUCCCUUAUCAUUAAACCAGGUCCGANNNNNNNNNNNNNNNNNNNNNNNNNNNNNNNNNNNNNNNNNNNNNNNNNNNNNNNNNNNNNNNNNNNNNNNNNNNNNNNNNNNNNNNNNNNNNNNNNNNNNNNGCCUCUGUGUCAUCCCAUAAUACUCCAUCAGAUUCCCCAGCUUGUAAUCAUAAUUACCCUUGUGAUAGAAAGCGUCAUCGACAUAUUCCUCAAAUCCGUCCACUUCCAUCUCUGGGUCAUAAGAUUGCCUCGCCAUUUCCAGCGUGAACUUCCGAAUAGAGCUUGAUGCAUAUGCUUCCUCUUUGACUUCCCGGAAAAGCUUUCCGAUCACGUUGUUGGAUGGGUAGCUGGACUUGUCAAGCUUCUCCAUGAAGUCUGGGUAUUCCUUGACAUACAGAUUAGGAGGUAUCACAGCAGGUACACCAGUUUUUGGGAAGUCAACCGCAAUAGAGAAAAGUCUGGCAAGGUCUAAACAUUCAGGGCACAUGGCCUUUUCAGGCUGACUAUCUGCAAAGACGGUGUGGGCAUUGGCAAUAAUUCCAAGGCUGUCAUUAAGUAUGUAAUUUACAAAGUACUCCUCCACUUCCUGUUUAAGCAACAAAAUCACAAAAGGGUUUUAAUUACCCACAUAUCCAUAGAGCAUUACAAGAGAAAUCAAGCGGCAAAUUUCCAAAUGCAACUCAUUGAUUUCGGCAAAUUGAUCAUCAAUAACCCUUCAAAAAUAAAGUGUGCUCAGAUAUACAUCUUCUCUUAAGAGUUCAAGGUAUAUAUGUGCUGGCCACUUCCAAUUUCAAUGUUCCCAAUGAUUCAAAAUAAUCCGUUCAUUUCAUUAUCAAGAAAAGGAAAUGUUCUGUAAUGCAAAAGAAUAAUGCAUAAACCAAUCUUAGUAGAUGUAUAUGCAUGGGCAAGUAUAGGCUUGCAGGUAGAUGCUUAUCCCCACGGUAUUUCCAGCAGAAUCAAUCUUAAUAAAAACAAUAAUACCAAUUCAGAGAAUGGAAGCCUCGUAACGACUGCCGCCUAAAAGAACAAGGAAUUCUCAACAGCAGUGAAGAGUGGGUACCAAAUCCAAGGUCAAGAACAUAGGCAAAGUUUUACUUAUAGAGUCACGCUGGAACAAAACUUAUUAUAAAGACCAAAAGAUUCUUUCCAGAAACCCAUGCAUCAUUAUCGUAAUGAUAACUUCCAAACCCCAAUUUAAGAAACGCAACAGUUAAAACAAGUAUACAGCUAACCCCAAAGCAUGAGCCCAAUCCUAUUCCCCCCAAUGGCAAGGAUGAGUUAUCAUAUAUGAAUCUUUAUUCUCUAGAAGAGUUUCUUCACAAGGAGGAAAUUGAAUGGACCGACCCAUGGUAUAUCUAAUUUCAGAUCAUUAAUAUUUCCCAUGAUGGCCAGCCUUCUAGAUAAGGAAAAAUACCACAGUAGUAAGGUAGUUUCACUUGGUGAUGAAAAUGAUGCUUUCCAUGAUCACACACUUUAAUUUAUCACUUCCUAUUGCCUUGAUAUUUCCUAGAUAAUAAUCAAAUUUAACAUAACAGAUUCACAACAGCUGGAAUAUAAACAAAACCCAUGCAUCAUUUCAGUAAGCCUACUUUUUCAUUCCCUCAUCUUUACUUAAAAAAUUAGCUAUGUCCCUCCACAACAGUCCCUUGAACUGCAUCCAAGCACAAUGCCUGACCAAAUACACCUCUAAGUUUGGCAAAAUAUAUGAAAUGUUGAAAUAGGGUUUCAGAACCAGUGAAAUGGCUCUGCUAGCCUUUAUAGAUACAUUUGAUGAGCGGCUCUUAAUCAUAGCUAAACCCACAUCCGAGUCGAGACAACACUACAGCCUCAAGUGCAUCAUUUUUUACCAUAAUCGCUUUUUGUUUCCCUACAAAGAUUCAUAUCACUUUGUGUGCAGUUGUGCCUGAAGUUGAGUGAGCAAAAUUUGGCAGUUAGCUUUUAGGGCAGAAGAUGAAUAGAGGCAUUGAAAAACUAGGGAAGCCUCCAAACAAGCAAAAAUUAAUGAACUACAUGUGGAGAAUUCUGAGUGCAAGUUCUUUCCAGGGACUUCUCAUAGAAUAGUCCUGGUCAAACAGCCAAUUCCAUGUUAUGUAAGGCAUAAACAGAUCUUUGACUAUAAGAAUCCUAUUGACCUAAUGGUUGAAUUAAUGAGCCCACUCAUACUCAACUGUUUGCUUCGUGACUAAUUUUGAAGCUAUCAUCUGCUUGCAGAGGGUGCAAAUUUUAGCUUCUCAGGGGUUCUUCCAGCCCAGGGAAGGAAGGAAGAGAAGCACACAAAUUUAUAAGUAAAAGGAACCAAUAAGAAACCAAAAGAAUACAGCAGGUUUGACAAGACAUUUUGCUCACAUGCCAAAUUCCUCAGCAAAGAUAAAAUUAUCCAAGUAUCAUGUCAGACAAGCCAAGUCAAGUGAAAAGAUAGAGAAUGCCAAAUGAUGGAUGCUAGAUGGAUUUCCUACUAUAACUGUAAGCUGUUCAAAACGUUUCACAGCAUCAUAAAAAGUCAUUACAAUAUAUAUAAUUCCGUGGAAAUCCUGAGAAAAAGCAUUACCUCAAUUGUGACAUCAUGAUCUAACCUCUCACUUGGGGCAGGUGUGUAAUCCAUAGGUUGUCUCUGGUGAUGCGGAAUUAAUUCUGAGUCCCAGGAGACAAAGUAGAUAUCUCCGUCCAAAUCACUCCCUGAACACUCAUUUGGAUGAGGCCUAUUUCAUUCAAGAAUCGCAUUAUGCAUUAACAAGAGAAAUUGAUAUCAUAUUUUGCUUUCUACUUUUAUCUAUUAAAAGUGUGUUUGGGACAAUUUAAAGUAGAAGAAAGUCAACCCGAAUUACUGAAAUUAUGGGGAAGGAAUUUUUCGCCUAUACUUUUAGCUAGUAGAAUUAAAGGGUAAACCUAUCAGUGUUUAUCCAGAACUAGAACUAUCAGAAGCAUAGAACAACAGCAUAGUAGAGGAUGCUUCUUAGCAAAGUCGCAUCACAUGUAGACAGAAUCUACAUACAAGCCUUGGACCGGUGAACUCAAACCUCAUACAAGAAAGAGACAAACCAGAAGCAGGAUCAACAAAAUUUCAAAUCUAGCCACCAAAUCCCACUGGAUAAAUAUUCUAGCAUUUAUUCUCAAAGCUUAAAGGUGAUAGAAAAGCAGGCCCAAAACUAUUUCUAAAGAAAAAAUGUCAAAAUUAUCCUUGGCUAUGUAAAAUGCGGAAAAAAUUAAAUUGGGUUGCACAUCAGUUCAUUUAUUUUAGACCUAGUACAAACAUAAUAUUAGAAAUUUUAGACCUUAUUACUAUAACUGAACCAAAUCAAAACAAUAGCCAAAGAUCCACAACCAAAAGCAAAAAGAAGUCCAAAAUGGAUCCAUGACAAGUGCCAGCGCAACUGAGGUAAUUGCAAGCCAAUAACAAGGCAUGUUAGAGUCAUACCUUUUUCCCUUCUGUGGAAAAACAACACAAUCCACCAUAUGAUGUAAAGCUGGCACAUCUAUGGCAGUUAGAACACGCACAUCACCUGGAUGUAAGCAAGGAUUCUUGGCAACAACUACUUUUCCCUGUACAACAAAGCUUUGAUCUGAGUCAGUACCAAUGAACACAAUUGACUCAUCCCACAUCUGUUGUUUUCUUCUACCGGAAUACUGCAGAAACACCUGGCCAUAUUCCAAACUUUGGGUUUCGUCAAGGCAUCCCAUCAUUGAUCUUCCUUCAGGAAGAAAUAUCCUCGUUUUUGUCCGCAAUUCAGACAAUUUUGUUGCUCUGAAUGUUCGCAACAUCAUCGAUAGAAAAGGCUCAGCAUCAGGCUUAUAACCACACUUUAGCAUUUCUUUGAGAAUGUUACCAUUCUCCCCCGGGGACAUUAAAUCUAGAGCCUCUUGUGCUCGUAGGGGAUCAACUAAAAUGGCAUUUAGCUGAUCUACAGCAUUUUUUUGUUUUUUCUCGAACACGUGAUCUCGAACGCCAAGUGUUGAUAGAAGAGUGAUCAAUUGGCGAUUAAGAAAGCAAGGCUGAUAUUUGCUCCAUCCCAAGACAUUUAGCUUUGUCUCUUUUGAUUUGUACUUAAACAUGCUCGUUCUGAGUGAUAGUUUAACACAUGACGUUGGAUCAACCGCUACAACACCUUUAUAUCCAGCAUAGCGAAUUUGAAACGCAGAAGGACUAUAGCCCUUCAAGCCACAUUUUCUUGCAACUUUCCGAGCGAACUCUCCAGAUAUUUUCCCAAUGCCAUCAGAAAAGACAUAAUUCAUAUCCUCAACAAGUGACUUGACUUCAAUAUCCGGAAUGAGUUCAACUUCAUCUUCACCUACAUUGAGAGUUUCGGUAGAUGAACUCAAGGAUUGGCCAAGUCUCGCGGCAUAUUUUGCCACAUUUCUUAUUGCACUGAAUUUACCCCUAUCUGCCCUAAUAGUUGCAGCAGUUGUACCAUCUGUUGGAGCAAACAUCCAAGCAGAAUUUUCGCGUAACUGACUGGAUGAGAAGGCAAGAAAUUCAAAAUGCUUAUCACCUAUUUUUAUGCCAUUCUUGAGAAUAGAAAGGAUCCUUUCAUAUAUAUCCGUUCUCCCAUGUCCCGAAGCAGUGCGAGGAGAUAAAUCAGUUGAAUACAUUUUAUCCAGGUCCUCAUCCACAAAAGAAAUACGGAUAAAAUUGUCAAUGUACUUAGAAUACCUCCGCAAUACAUGAUUUGAGACAUUAAUUUCUGGACCAAAAAAAUACACCCUGCAUGGUGUUAUUUGCACCCUAUGUACAUAAACCAAGCCAGCAUCUAAUGAUAUUGAAGACAGUUUUGUAGAAUGCCGGGAGGUGAGAUAUUUCUUGUGUUGCUCAAUCAACCACUGUGAAGGCUCAUAACAACAUUCUUUCAAAUGGAACAGCUUGUCCAAGGCAUCUAGGAUUAUGUCCAUUUCCAUGCUCCCUGGAUCAACCAUUCGAUAAAAGGACAAAUCAAGAGAAGGUCCAGCUAGACAGCCAUUCUGAACUAACAAAUUUAUCUUAAAGAUGAUCUCAUAAGGCAAGUCAACUCCUCUGGGAGGGCCUACGAUUGGAACUAGAUCCGC
Molecule: long non-coding RNA, 46588 nt
Filed under: Eucalyptus grandis
Lineage: Eukaryota; Viridiplantae; Streptophyta; Magnoliopsida; Myrtales; Myrtaceae
Description: long non-coding RNA (EGRA_LNC004359)
Source: RNAcentral